RNAcentral lists this long non-coding RNA (57181 nucleotides) under Coffea arabica (coffee). RNAcentral's name for it is "long non-coding RNA (CARA_LNC002957)". Lineage: Eukaryota; Viridiplantae; Streptophyta; Magnoliopsida; Gentianales; Rubiaceae. The record is from RNAcentral.
UUUUUUUUUUUUUUUGUUCGCAAUUAGCCAGUUUGCAUGCAUUAUAGAAGAAAGAAAGGUUCCUAUUGAGGCUGAAGUCAAGAACUUGCAAUUCAAUUGGUAUUGCUUCUUUGGCACAUGAUGUCAUCAAAUCAUUUGAUCAAAUUUGAAUCAAUUCCUAAUACCAAUUUUGGGUACAGAAAUGAUGCUAAAUCAAAAGACUAUAAGGAUAUGGUAAUAUAUCUAACUUAUGAGAAAAACUUUGAGUUCAAAUCUAAUACUAGUGGAAGGGGUUGACGUCAAAUUGAAGAAGGUGAAGGAUUUCUUGUGAAAAAUUACUAGUCAAUGUUUAUUACCACUUUUGGAUAUAGUUUUGAUUCAAAUGAUAAGGUGGUUCAUUUCUUACGAAAGAUUUUGAAUGAAGACUCAGCUCUUUGUAGUAUCAUAGUGACCAUUACAACUCUAAAUUAAAAUUUGUAUUCUAUUGGUGUGAAUAUUUAUUGCUUUAAACAAAGUAUUGAAUAAAAAAGUUGUACUAGUUGUAUUUGCAUCCUAUCUUUCCUUUGGCUUUAACAAUUUAACAAUAGGAAUUCUAUUAACUAUUUCAAUUAUGCAAAAUCACAAUACAUGAAAAAAUUCAUUCUUAUUAAAAAAAGAAAGAAAGGAAAUGCCCAAGUGGCAUUGAUGCAAUUAAUUGACAUUGAUUUAUAAAUAAACAGAGUUUAAUCUCAUAGUAUAGUAACUAUAUAUUAUAUUUCCUUCCAUCGCUAAUUUGCUUGAUAAAUGCUAUAAAUAAUCAAUGACAUGUGAUCCAUAUACACAAUUAAUACAAAAAUAUUAAGAACUAAAUGAACAAAUUUUUUAUUAUUUUGAGGAAGUAUUUUUAGAAGGUUUGAACCAAUGUUAUAGUUCUCAUCAAUAUAUUUAUUUCUUCUUUCUUUUUGUUAAUAUAAUUUUAAUACGAAACUAAAUUAACUAUAAUAAUCCAUUUUUACAUUAAGGCCCUGUUUGAUAAUCCAAUUUACCAUUUAAACUUAAUGGAUUUAGAUCUUAAUAUGUUCAGACGUAUUUGAUAACUAAAAAUAAAGUAUCUGAAUUAAUUAAGUGGCACUGAAUUUUCUAGACAAAACUUGCCUUCAAAAUUAAGUGAUAAGUUAGUUACUUAUAACUGAAUGUGAUAUACACUCAAGUGUAUUAGAUUUAAAUUUAAUAAUUUAAUGGAUUCAAACUUUAGAUUUUAGAUUUUAGUUUUAUCAAACGUACCCUAAGUUUUUUUUUUUACUUACUAUGGCAUCACUUGAUAGGUCAAUAAUCUUUUUUGAUAGCUCAUGUUAUUAUUUCUUUUCUUAACUUUUUUUUUCAUUUUUAGUCAUUUAAUCAAUGAUAUGUGCAUUUCUUCAUUUAAAUAUAGUUUAAACUUACUUUUUGCUUUCUUUAAUACUUUUAUGAGAAAACACUUUUAAUGUUAGAAAAACGUGAAUUCCUGCAGUACAAAAUUUGAAGUAGGUCAAGUCUAGCAUGAAAGUAUAGAAAAUCUUUUCAAAUAUGGAUAUGAGAUUACGGUUGAUUCCAAAGAAGAAUUUUAUGAAUAUAUACGUGGUGCUUGCAAUGGAUAGUCCGCCAUUGUAGUAAUCAAGCAAGAGAGCAUAUUAGGUAAUUGAAUAAGUGAUUAUAGCAUCAAUAUACUUUAUAUUCAGUCAAAUUUUUGGAAUAAUCUAUUCUAUAUAACUCACUUUUCACCAAAUCUGCAAGUUCUAGAUUGGGUUUCAAUUAUAUAAUCAUUUUGACAACAAAGGUUUAAAUUUUUCACAAAAAAUGCUAUUUGCUUAAAUGAUUUGUAUAGAAGGCACAAGUUUCCUUUACGACUAAUAAAUUAUUUGCUGAAUGAUUAUUUCAUGAUAUCUUCUCUAUUGGUGUUGAGCUUGUGUACCUAUUGUUGUACGGCAAUAUUUGUAGAAGUUUAAUUGAUUCUAAUAUAGCAGGCAGGAGUAUAUUUUAUUUAUUUAUCAUAUGUUUCAAUAUUUUAUAUAGAAUGGUAAGAUAUGCAUAUGUGAUUAGGCUUGAAAAGUACUCUGAACACGGUAUACAAAUGAAGUUAUAGUUGAAACUAAUGGCUAAUCCUCCACAUUUGUUUGGCAUCAAUUUGCGGGACCUAUCCCUUGAUAAUGCUGAUGAAUUGGCUUUCAUUACUAGCAUUUUAUCAGUACCACCAAUACUAGUACAUUCCUAGACAAAUUUGUAGAGAUAGUGAACUCUUCGAUCAACAAUAGAUCUGUGAAUUUAUAAAUAGACAUCGGGACAUAAUAUUUGAGAACUUGCAUAUAGAUGUUCCUACAUUCUUAUAUCUUUGUACUUUGUUGAUGGAAAGGAAUUACUUACAAGCACACUCAACUCGAAACGUGGGAAUUCAUGUGUCAAUGGCUAUUGCAUUAGUAUGUCUUAGUUAUGAUGAAUGACAUUGGGUUCUCUGUAAGCACUUUUAGCAUUUUCCAAAAACUAUUGAUCAACAUGUGAGAUGUUGUCUCAUAGCACUAGAAUGUUGUGGAUAGGAUAUAAUCAAGCUGAAAAAUUUCAGCCAAACUUAUUCACAAAUUCUAAAUAGUGCAAAAUUUUACUCCUGAUCAAAGGUUAUUCACUUAUUUGAAAAAGUACAAAAUUAGUUUAAUUGAUCAACAGUUAUACUUGUCUUAUUGGUAUAGAACUAUGUUAGGGGUAAUGUACGGGACUUAUAUGUUGACCUGGUCCCAAAUAUAGUUACAAGAUAAAUUUUGAAAUAGGAAAAGAGAUUUAUCUUUAAAAAAAUACUAUAUAUAUGUGACCAUGAUAUGAGAUUUGUGCUUGUCCGAUAUUAUUAAGAAAGUUUUGCAUAUGAGGCAUGGGACCUGCAAGAUACUUUGUUUGCUCCACAAUCUAUAUUUCCUAUACUACCAAAGAGUAUGUAUCUAAUUUACUACUUGUCUGAGCUAUAAUUUUAUUUUAAACUUGAAAGUAGGUGUAUAAUAUUUGUAUAGGUAAGUAUUAUAUGGUAAACUAAACAUAUAAUAAUAUUUCCAAUUUCAUGACACUGUAUAGGGCUGUUGGUGGGAGAUAUGGCAGAAUGCAGAGUUAAAGGCCUUUUCAAUCAUUAUCAUUUUUCACUUAGAAAUGUGAUUAAACAAAGUUUUGGUGUGUUAAAAAAAUAUUUUUCAAUACUGACUGGCUCAAUGUAGAAUUAUCUCAAAAUAAUUAUAUUAUCAUCGCUUAUUAAGCUCUCCAUAAUUAUAUGAGGGACAAAUACUGAAUGACAAAUAUUUCAUGAACUAGGCUACUAUUGAGGCAAUAGAAGUGAACUCAACAACCAAGUUGCAAAGCCACAAUCAUUUGAUAUGUCACAGAUAGUUAUUGAUAGUUGGAAUGACAUGCGUCAAGUAAUUGCCAAUCAUAUGUUGGAAUACCAACAUCAGUAGCUAAGAUUAACUUGUAUUUUGAUUUUUGCAUUAUUGCUAAAAAUUUCACCACUAAAAAAUGGUUAUAUGACAAUGAAAUAAGUCUUUUAUUUGUUAGUUGGUUAGUGGUGCUUUCUUUUUUGUCAAGAAAUAGUAUACAUGCUCCUCAUAUGUACUGAUCCUAUCUAAGAUGUAUUAUAUAUCUAUUAUUUGUGUGUCAUGGUAGUUGUUGUUGGCAAUUUUUUUAGAACCUUAUCGGACCGAUCGGUUUGACUGAUUGAAUCGAGAAUCGGUCAUAGCAACAGUCCUCUCUAGUACAAAAGCAGGGCAUUACUAAAAAUUUCUGAAACCAGGCAAACUGCAUGAAUUAUUAAAAAAUCAUUUGAAAUCAUAAACUAAUGGUUUUUCAAAUCUUUUAACAUUUCACUUAAGUGAAAAAUAUUUUAAAAAAAACCUAUCUCAACACAAAUAUAUAAACAUAGCUCAAAAUAGCCGUCGCUCUCCUCUGUUUUCUUUCUUGGCAACAUUGGCAUUGUUUCUACUUUCAAAACUCAAAGGCUGAUAAUCUCUGUUUUCUUCCUAAUAAGCUAGCUGACAUUUCAACAUCUUGAAGCAAAGAUCAUUUUCAGGGAAAAAGUGAGAUUAGCUCCUUUUUUUUUCUCUUUUUUAUUUUACUUCCUAAUUUUGUUUAAUUGAUUCAAAGGCUCCAUGACAAUCUAACUAUCCAAAACAAGAUUUUGCUUUAAGACUCCAAUCCAUUAGGCUAACAUUUUUAGUUGAUUAAUUGGCUUUCAUCUUGGUGAGUUAAAAUUUUUCCUGUCCAAGACUUUUUUCUUUAUGUUUCUUUUUGUAAAGCUAAUUGAUGUUUUGCUAUUCUUUUUUUUUUUGUCAUAAUUGAUGUUUAAAGCUAAUUGAUGAUGAGCUAUUCUUUUUGUAAAGUCAAUUAAUAUGUCAUUAUUUUUUUUGUAAAGUUUGCUGUUCAAUAGUUUUUUCCUAGUUUUCAUCUUUAUUUUUUGUAAUUGAUGUUGAACUUUUGUUUGAUAUUACUGUUAUUAGUUCUUUAAACUAUUUAGUUAAGGUUUACAAAUAAGAACCAGCUAAUCAUUUGUUUCAUUAGCCUUCAGUUUUAGCAUAUCAACUUCUUUUGAGAUAGUGGAUAGUAUUGACUUCAAAACCUUCACAAUUAAUAGCGUAAGAGGCCCUAAUUCCACUAAAACUUUACCUAAUUACCUUGGCUAAGAAAUAGUUAAUGCAUUCUUAGAUGACUCAGAUGAGGGAAAUUACAUAUAUGAUAAUGGUCCUUAUCUAGCCUCAUCUUACAUAAAAGUUUAGGUAUAACAGUCCUUUCAAUGGUUUUCCACUAUAUAAGUGUACAAAUUCCCUUUUUUUUUUUGUAUGAAAGAUUACAAGUUUUCAUUUCUUACUCAUAUUUCAGUAUUCCAUUUUGCUAACAACUUAAAGACAUAAAAGUGUAGUACUCUUUGUGUUUCCCAACUUCUGUUGUAAUUGAGACGAUUUCUCUGUACAGCGGUAUAUGCAAUUUUAAAGAUGGUACACAAUUUAAAGAACUAAAAAUAUUUAUACAUGUUGAUUUUAGAUUUACAAUUCUUAGUGGUUUAACAGUGAAUUUAUUUAACUAGUCCUCUAUCAACAAGAGAUUUACUUAGUAACUAGUUAAAAUUUUCAAGUUUAUUUAGUAACUAGUUAAAAACUUCAGUUUUUUUUCUUUUUCUCUUAGUACUUUUUAGCUAGCAAUUGGUAGUUUAUCUAUGAAGGUUACUUGAGCCCUUUAAACCAAUAUUCUCUAAUAUAAGAUUUUUCAAAAUAAAUUGAUUGUUAAGAAAUAAAAAAGAACCAUGUCCUAAUAGCACCUAGAAUUGACGAAAUAAAAAAACAAUAAAUAUGACUAUCCCUAUGCAAGACCCAUGUUCCUAUUAACUCUUCUAAGGUCUGAGGGCUUUAGAUGAUAGAAUAUUAUCUAUGCAUUAAAUUUAAAUUUAUUUUUUGGGACUUUUAAUGCAUCAAGUGUUGCUGAAGCUUUUUUAAAAUUUUCUUAUCAGUGCACCAUAUUGAAAUAAUGAACCAAUUAUGUCUAAAUUAAUUAUGUUAAGGAUAAUGGAUACUACUACUGAUACUUGUAGCAAUUCACAAUCUUCGACUAUGGGAGCCAUUAAUAGUGAAACAUCAGCAAGUGAAAGUCACAUGCAAAAGUCAGAUAUAGCAUGGAAUCACCGUUCAAAGGGUGUGAAUAAGGAAGAAAAGUUCUGACAUGUGGAUGUUAUUUUAAAAUAAUUACUUUGGUAGCAUUAAUCGUAUAAAGUAGCAUUUGGCAGGAGAACAAGGCAGUAUUGUUUCAUCUCCAAAGGUUGACUUGGCAGUUAGACAUGUAAUUUUAUCAUCGAUGAAAGAGAAAGAAUAGAAAUCUAAAGAAAAGAAAGGAGACUUUGCGAUAGAAAUUUCAUUUGGUUAAAAUAUGCAUGCAUCAGAUGGUGAUGAAGUGCAAGAAAUUCCUUGUUCUCUGGCCAAUGAGAUAGGUGCAUAUACUAAAGGAAAUAGAAAAGCAAUUGCCCCAGUUGGUAAACAUGCUUUCUUUAAAGGGGGCAGGAUACUUUUCAACCAACCAUCAAGGCUUGUUUGCAAAGGAAAAAAAAAUAUGGACAUGGCUAUUGUUCUUUGGAUUUAUGAUGUUUGCAUUCCCAUAAAUGCUGUUAACUCUCCAUUUUUCAAAAAAUUAUUGAUCAAAUAGCAUCAAUGGGUCACGGGUAUAAAGAUUAAUCAUAUUAUUAUUUGAGAGUUAAUUUGUUGUGAAAUGUUAAGGUAGAUUACUUCAUUUUGAAGUGUUUGGACAGAAAAAAGUUGCACUGUAAUAGGUGAUGGAUGGAAACAUACAAAACAAAGGUCAUUGAUACAUUUUUUGAUUUACUGUCCGAAGGCCAUUUCUUUUAUUAAAUCUAUUGAUGCAUCUGACAUUGUAACUGUGACGGCCCCACCUCCCCCUAGGGUGAACCAGAGGGUUCGGCGGGCCGCCUGCCCAACUCUCGCCGGAACUCAGUCGAUCACUACAAUCCUCAAAUAUAUUACAAUAAAAAUCUCAAAUAUACAUCACAUGGUCCACAAAUAUACAUCCAAGUCUCCAAUAAUUACAUGUCACAAAUGCAGCGGAAACUAAUCCCAAAUAUACAUAAAAUAAUUCGAAAUCCAAAAUUGUACAAAGUUUAGGCCAUCCAUACACGUGCACAACUACUACAAGUCCUUCCUUCGCCACGAGCCCUGUGGAGGGGAAUAAAAUAGUUUUUGGGGUGAGCCAAAAGCUCAGCGAGUAACCAGAAAAUCAUUAAUCAACUCGGUUUCAUAAUAGUUCAUUUCAAUGAUGUCAUAUAGCAAUGAUGUCAUAAAUUAAAUGAUAAAUCCGGAAACAACUACAACAUUUGCAAAACAGUAAAUAUGGAUUAUCAAUAAUUCAAGAAACAUUUACAAUGGAAAGCGAUAGUAACAUUCAUGAAAGGAUACAUUUAUUCUCCUGACAUUUCCUCGCUCAUUUGGUCAUUCAUUUCAUUUCAUUCACCCCGUCCCUGGCUUUUGGCCAAGCUCCACCAACCUACAGAGGUAAUACUCGAGUAUACCAAACGUUCACCCAAGUUCCUAAUCGCCUGACCGAGUCCGCUUCUGGCUCAAGACGACCGGUAACAAGGGGCAAUGGCCAGUUCAGCCCAAAAGGCUUACAUUCAUGCGCAAGUAACAUUUCAAUCAGAAAUUUCACAUUUAUCGAGGUCGAAUGCGAUAAAAUACACACUCGUCUCGAAAACUCGUUUUGAAAAUCAUUAUAAGCGCUUAACACGUUAUCAACCAAAAUACAAGUCAUGAAGUCAAGAAAUAUAGCAAACAAGGCACACUCAAAUGCCAGCACACAUGAUAUGCAAGAAAACAUUUCAAAAGUGACUUUGGAAACAGUUCAAAAGUAAAUAAUGUAAGAAACGGUUCAUAAAUCACUUUAGAAGUAGUUUGAGGUCACUCACCUCCAUGGCUCAGAAAUCAUCCAUCAUAUAACAUUGCCUUACUCAAAUCCAAGUCUUAGAUCACAAACUCAAAGCAAUCAAACCCUUUAAAACUUCGGACAGCACUUCCCCUAAAUUUGCUUACUUUCCCAGCCAUCAUGGCUUCAUUAUUUCCUCAGCCAGUUCCAAAGUCACACAAAUAAGUUCAUCCAAUAGCCAUUCAGCAAGCUCCAAGUAGUACUAGCACAAGUCAAGCUAGGGAAAAGUCCGGAAAUGAAAGUUAAUCUCAAAACCAGAAAAACAGUUUUGACGUCAUUUUGCGGUAAUGGUACCAAAGGCGCUACGAUUGUCGGAUGAAGGUGAAAGACCCACCGUUUCGAAGCUAAGAGUCAGGGCUACAAUAUUGCAGAAGGUCACUCAACCCAAUUUCGAGUGCAAACAGGUCAAAAAGGCAAGAUACUAUAUCAAAAAUGUAAAACAGAUUCACCAAAACGUAUUCUAGCGGAAACAUCAUAACUCAGGCUCUACAAGUCCAAAUCCAGAAAUUCCAAAGGUAUAUGGUAGCUAAUACAUCAAGCUACAUUUCAUCAGAAGACCUCAAAGGCCAAAUCGUGCAUUUUCAUGAUAAAAAAUGGAAGACUACACGAAAACAAAAAUCUGGGCGCGAAACAGGUUUAAAAAACAGUCAAGGGUAUUUCGGUCAUUUGACAUGCUACAGUGGUCGGAUCAAGCUGAAAAUUUACAGGCAACUAGUUUAUAGCCUUGGAUACAACUUUCAUGUUUUGGCCAAAAUCUAAUUCGGUGAGAAUAAGGGUGAAAGGUCACGGUCAAAUCGAGUGAAAAGGCAACCCUGUUCGCAGCACCCCUUCCCAGACCAGUCUCAGUAUUUCCGACUUUUCUCACUCCACACUACUCCAAUUGACCUGAAAUUUUACACGCACCUUUAAAACAUCAAUACCUACAACUUUCAUGUUUUAAACCAAGGCCAAUUCGGUCUCUAACCAUGAGAUACAAAAUCGGACAGAAUUGGGGAUAUAAAACCCUAACUUUCUCAAAUUCCUUCCAAACCCAAAAUUGGUUGCAAUUACCAAUCAUUUACACCUACUAGAGUUAUUAAACAUCAUUUCCAACCAUCAUGGACAGCCACAACAUUAUGAUCAAAUUAAAUCAGAAAAAUCAUCAAUAAAUCAAAAACUUCACCAAUUCAUCUCAAACCAAGAAAUAAACCACAAAUUUCAGCACUUUAGCUCCCACUAGGCAUAACUUAAGCUUCAUUAAGUGUAGGAGGAAGUUCAAUCACCACUCACCUUAACAAUAGAAGAGAGAGAACAACUAGGCACCUUAACUUUCCAAAUAACUCCACCAAGAGCUUCAAUCUUCCUUAGCUAGCAAGUUUUAUGGAGUGAUUUGCAAUUUAAUCGGUUGGAACUCAAGAUUUGAGCAAGAAUUGAAGUUGAAGUUGAAGAAACUCUCUCUUGUUCUUUCCUCACCAAAAAUUUCGGCCAAGACAAUAAAAUGGAAGAAAUUGGGUCAAAAUUUGGUUUAGUAAAGGUUAAGACAAGUCCAAGUCAAAGUCAAGGUCCAAUAGUUAGGUGACAAAUGGUCCUCUAGGAUUUUAAUCUUAUCCUUUUGUCUCUCCAAGAUUAAACCAUCUAAAUAACCUCUAAUUAUCUCUUAGCACCUUGUAAAAUAAUAUCACUUAAUACAAAAUUCCAACAAGUUGUCAAAAAUAUAAUGUAUUUACCGCACUAGUGGGUCCCACGUCCAAAAUACGCUUUUAAUUUCUCAAAAACUAACCGAUACUAGAAAAAUCAUUUUAAAACUAUUUUUGCUCAUAAACUUUAUCUGGGAAAUUUUUCUAAUCAAGAAAAUGUAGAAAAGGCGGGCGUUAAAAAAAAUAAACCCUAGAAAAUUAGAAAAUUUCCGGGUUCUCAAAUUCAUUUUUUUUCGAGGCGUCACAAUCUCCCCUCCUUAAAAGAAUGUCGUCCUCGACAUUCCAUCUUGUACCAAUCAAGUCAAGACAUCCCGCAAAAAUCUCUCAAGAGUCAAUCAAACCCACAGUCCGGCAUCCUAAACUUCAAGCCUAGGAUACACUACAGAGAUCUGAAGCCUAAGCUCUGAUACCAACUGUGACGGCCCCACCUCCCCCUAGGGCGAACCAGAGGGUUCGGCGGGCCGCCUGCCCAGCUCUCGCCGGGACUCAGUCGAUCGCUACAAUCCUCAAAUAUAUUACAAUAAAAAUCUCAAAUAUACAUCACAUGGUCCACAAAUAUACAUCCAAGUCUCCAUUAAUUACAUGUCACAAAUGCAGCGGAAACUAAUCCCAAAUAUACAUAAAAUAAUUCCAAAUCCAAAAUUGUACAAAGUUUAGGCCAUCCAUACACGUGCACAAGUACUACAAGUCCUUCCUUUGCCACGAGCCCUGUGGAGGGGAAUAAAAUAGUUUUUGGGGUGAGCCAAAAGCUCAGCGAGUAACCAGAAAAUCAUUAAUCAACUCGGUUUCACAAUAGUUCAUUUCAAUGAUGUCAUAUAGCAAUGAUGUCAUAAAUUAAAUGAUAAAUCCGGAAACAACUACAUCAUUUGCAAAACAGUAAAUAUGGAUUAUCAAUAAUUCAAGAAACAUUUACAAUGGAAAGCGAUAGUAACAUUCAUGAAAGGAUACAUUCAUUCUCCUGACAUUUCCUCGCUCAUUUGGUCAUUCAUUUCAUUUCAUUCACCCCGUCCCUGGCUUUUGGCCAGGCUCCACCAACCUACAUAGGUAAUACUCGAGUAUACCAAACGUUCACCCAAGUUCCUAAUCGCCUGACCGAGUCCGCUUCUGGCUCAAGACGACCGGUAACAAGGGGCAAUGGCCAGUUCAGCCCAAAAGGCUUACAUUCAUGCGCAAGUAACAUUUCAAUCAAAAAUUUCACAUUUAUCGAGGUCGAAUGCGAUAAAGUACACACUCGCCUCGAAAACUCGUUUUGGAAAUCAUUAUAAGCGCUUAACACGUUAUCAACCAAAAUACAAGUCAUGAAAUCAAGAAAUAUAGCAAACAAGGCACACUCAAAUGCCAGCACACAUGAUAUGCAAGAAAACAUUUCAAAAGUGACUUUGGAAACAGUUCAAAAGUAAAUAAUGUAAGAAACGGUUCAUAAAUCACUUUAGAAGUAGUUUGAGGUCACUCACCUCCAUGGCUCAGAAAUCAUCCAUCAUAUAACAUUGCCUUGCUCAAAUCCAAGUCUUAGAUCACAAACUCAAAGCAAUCAAACCCUUUAAAACUUCGGACAGCACUUCCCCUAAAUUUGCUUACUUUCCCAGCCAUCAUGGCUUCAUUAUUUCCUCAGCCAUUCCAAAGUCACACAAAUAAGUUCAUCCAAUAGCCAUUCAGCAAGCUCCAAGUAGUACUAGCACAAGACAAGCUAGGGAAAAGUCCGGAAAUGAAAGUUAAGCUCAAAACCAGAAAAACAGUUUUGACGUCAUUUUGCGGUAAUGGUACCAAAGGCGCUACGAUUGUCGGAUGAAGGUGAAAGACCCACCGUUUCGAAGCUAAGAGUCAGGGCUACAAUAUUACAGAAGGUCACUCAACCCAAUUUCGAGUGUAAACAGGUCAAAAAGGCAAGAUACUAUAUCAAAAAUGUAAAACAGAUUCACCAAAACGUAUUCUAGCGGAAACAUCAUAACUCAGGCUCUACAAGUCCAAAUCCAGAAAUUCCAAAGGUAUAUGGUAGCUAAUACAUCAAGCUACAUUUCAUCAGAAGACCUCAAAGGCCAAAUCGUGCAUUUUCAUGAUAAAAAAUGGAAGACUACACGAAAACAAAAAUCUGGGCGCGAAACAGGUUUCAAAAAUAGUCAAGGGUAUUUCGGUCAUUUCACAUGCUACAGUGGUCGGAUCAAGCUGGAAAUUUACAGGUAACUAGUUUAUAGCCUUGGAUACAACUUUCAUGUUUUGGCCAAAAUCUAAUUCGGUGAGAAUAAGGGUGAAAGGUCACGGUCAAAUUGAGUGAAAAGGCAACCCUGUUCGCAGCACCCCUUCCCAGACCUGUCUCAGUAUUUCCGACUUUUCUCACUCCACACUACUCCAAUUGACCUGAAAUUUUACAGGUUCCUUUAAAACAUCAAUACCUACAACUUUCAUGUUUUAAGCCAAGGCCAAUUCGACCUCUAACCAUGAGAUACAAAACCGGACAGAAUUGGGGAUAUAAAACCCUAACUUUCUCAAAUUCCUUCCAAACCCAAAAUUGGUUGCAAUUACCAAUCAUUUACACCUACUAGAGUUAUUAAACAUCAUUUCCAACCAUCAUGGACAGCCACAACAUCGUGAUCAAAUUAAACCAGAAAAAUCAUCAAUAAAUCAAAAACUUCACCAAUUCAUCUCAAACCAACAAAUAAACCACAAAUUUCAGCACUUUAGCUCCCACUAGGCAUAACUUAAGCUUCAUUAAGUGUAGGAGGAAGUUCAAUCACCACUCACCUUAACAAUAGAAGAGAGAGAACAACUAGGCACCUUAACCUUCCAAAUAACUCCACCAAGAGCUUCAAUCUUCCUUAGCUAGCAAGUUUUAUGGAGUGAUUUGCAAUUUAAUCGGUUGGAACUCAAGAUUUGAGCAAGAAUUGAAGUUGAAGUUGAAGAAACUCUCUCUUGUUCUUUCCUCACCAAAAAUUUCGGCCAAGACAAUAAAAAUGGAAGAAAUUGGGUCAAAAUUUGGUUUAGUAAAGGUUAAGACAAGUCCAAGUCAAAGUCAAGGUCCAAUAGUUAGGUGACAAAUGGUCCUCUAGGAUUUUAAUCUUAUCCUUUUGUCUCUCCAAGAUUAAACCAUUAAAUAACCUCUAAUUAUCUCUUAGCACCUUGUAAAAUAAUAUCACUUAAUACAAAAUUCCAACAAGUUGUCAAAAAUAUAAUGUAUUUACCGCACUAGCGGGUCCCACGUCCAAAAUACGCUUUUAAUUUCUCAAAAACUAACCGAUACUAGAAAAAUCAUUUUAAAACUAUUUUUGCUCAUAAACUUUAUCUGGGAAAUUUUUCUAAUCAAGAAAAUGUAGAAAAGGCGGGCGUUAAAAAAAAUAAACCCUAGAAAAUUAGAAAAUUUUCGGGUUCUCAAACUCAUUUUUUUUCGGGGCGUCACAAUCUCCCCUCCUUAAAAGAAUGUCGUCCUCGACAUUCCAUCUUGUACCAAUCAAGUCAAGACAUCCCGCAAAAAUCUCUCAAGAGUCAAUCAAACCCACAGUCCGGCAUCCUAAACUUCAAGCCUAGGAUACACUACAGAGAUCUGAAGCCUAAACUCUGAUACCAACUGUGACGGCCCCACCUCCCCCUAGGGCGAACCAGAGGGUUCGGCGGGCCGCCUGCCCAACUCUCGCCGGGACUCAGUCGAUCACUACAAUCCUCAAAUAUAUUACAAUAAAAAUCUCAAAUAUACAUCACAUGGUCCACAAAUAUACAUCCAAGUCUCCAAUAAUUACAUGUCACAAAUGCAGCGGAAACUAAUCCCAAAUAUACAUAAAAUAAUUUCAAAUCCAAAAUUGUACAAAAUUUAAGCCAUCCAUACACGUGCACAAGUACUACAAGUCCUUCCUUCGCCACGAGCCUUGUGGAGGGGAAUAAAAUAGUUUUUGGGGUGAGCCAAAAGUUCAGCGAGUAACCAGAAAAUCAUUAAUCAACUCGGUUUCACAAUAGUUCAUUUCAAUGAUGUCAUAUAGCAAUGAUGUCAUAAAUUAAAUGAUAAAUCCGGAAACAACUACAUCAUUUGCAAAACAGUAAAUAUGGAUUAUCAAUAAUUUAAGAAACAUUUACAAUGGAAAGCGAUAGUAACAUUCAUGAAAGGAUACAUUCAUUCUCCUGACAUUUCCUCGCUCAUUUGGUCAUUCAUUUCAUUUCAUUCACCCCGUCCCUGGCUUUUGGCAGGCUCCACCAACCUACAUAGGUAAUACUCGAGUAUACCAAACGUUCACCCAAGUUCCUAAUCGCCUGACCGAGUCCGCUUCUGGCUCAAGACGACCGGUAACAAGGGGCAAUGGCCAGUUCAGCCCAAAAGGCUUACAUUCAUGCGCAAGUAACAUUUCAAUCAAAAAUUUCACAUUUAUCGAGGUCGAUGCGAUAAAGUACACACUCGCCUCGAAAACUCGUUUUGGAAAUCAUUAUAAGCGCUUAACACGUUAUCAACCAAAAUACAAGUCAUGAAGUCAAGAAAUAUAGCAAACAAGGCACACUCAAAUGCCAGCACACAUGAUAUGCAAGAAAACAUUUCAAAAGUAACUUUGGAAACAGUUCAAAAGUAAAUAAUGUAAGAAACGGUUCAUAAAUCACUUUAGAAGUAGUUUGAGGUCACUCACCUCCAUGGCUCAGAAAUCAUCCAUCAUAUAACAUUGCCUUGCUCAAAUCCAAGUCUUAGAUCACAAACUCAAAGCAAUCAAACCCUUUAAAACUUCGGACAGCACUUCCCCUAAAUUUGCUUACUUUCUCAGCCAUCAUGGCUUCAUUAUUUCCUCAGCCAGUUCCAAAGUCACACAAAUAAGUUCAUCCAAUAGCCAUUCAGCAAGCUUCAAGUAGUAUUAGCACAAGUCAAGCUAGGAAAAAGUCCGGAAAUGAAAGUUAAGCUCAAAACCAGAAAAACAGUUUUGACGUCAUUUUGCGGUAAUGGUACCAAAGGCGCUACGAUUGUCGGAUGAAGGUGAAAGACCCACCGUUUCGAAGCUAAGAGUCAGGGCUACAAUAUUACAGAAGGUCACUCAACCCAAUUUCGAGUGUAAACAGGUCAAAAAGGCAAGAUACUAUAUCAAAAAUGUAAAACAGAUUCACCAAAACGUAUUCUAGCGGAAACAUCAUAACUCAGGCUCUACAAGUCCAAAUCCAGAAAUUCCAAAGGUAUAUGGUAGCUAAUACAUCAAGCUACAUUUCAUCAGAAGACCUCAAAGGCCAAAUCGUGCAUUUUCAUGAUAAAAAAUGGAAGACUACACGAAAACAAAAAUCUGGGCGCGAAACAGGUUUCAAAAACAGUCAAGGGUAUUUCGGUCAUUUCACAUGCUACAGUGGUCGGAUCAAGAUGAAAAUUUACAGGUAACUAGUUUAUAGCCUUGGCUACAACUUUCAGGUUUUGGCCAAAAUCUAAUUCGGUGAGAAUAAGGGCGAAAGGUCACGGUCAAAUUGAGUGAAAAGGCAACCCUGUUCGCAGCACCCCUUCCCAGACCUGUCUCAGUAUUUCCGACUUUUCUCACUCCACACUACUCCAAUUGACCUGAAAUUUUACAGGUACCUUUAAAACAUCAAUACCUACAACUUUCAUGUUUUAAGACAAGGCCAAUUCGACCUCUAACCGUGAGAUACAAAACCGGACAGAAUUGGGAAUAUAAAACCCUAACUUUCUCAAAUUCCUUCCAAACCCAAAAUUGGUUGCAAUUACCAAUCAUUUACACCUACUAGAGUUAUUAAACAUCAUUUCCAACCAUCAUGGACAGCCUCAACAUCAUGAUCAAAUUAAACCAGAAAAAUCAUCAAUAAAUCAAAAACUUCACCAAUUCAUCUCAAACCAAGAAAUAAACCACAAAUUUCAGCACUUUAGCUCCCACUAGGCAUAACUUAAGCUUCAUUAAGUGUAGGAGGAAGUUCAAUCACCACUCACCUUAACAAUAGAAGAGAGAGAAUAACUAAGCACCUUAACCUUCCAAAUAACUCCACCAAGAGCUUCAAUCUUCCUUAGCUAGCAAGUUUUAUGGAGUGAUUUUGCAAUUUAAUCGGUUGGAACUCAAGAUUUGAGCAAGAAUUGAAGUUGAAGUUGAAGAAACUCUCUCUUGUUCUUUACUCACCAAAAAUUUCGGCCAAGACAAUAAAAAUGGAAGAAAUUGGGUCAAAAUUUGGUUUAGUAAAGGUUAAGACAAGUCCAAGUCAAAGUCAAGGUCCAAUAGUUAGGUGACAAAUGGUCCUCUAGGAUUUUAAUCUUAUCCUUUUGUCUUUCCAAGAUUAAACCAUCUAAGUAACCUCUAAUUAUCUCUUAGCACCUUGUAAAAUAAUAUCACUUAAUACAAAAUUCCAACAAGUUGUCAAAAAUAUAAUGCAUUUACCGCACUAGCGGGUCCCACGUCCAAAAUACGCUUUUAAUUUCUCAAAAACUAACCGAUACUAGAAAAAUCAUUUUAAAACUAUUUUUGCUCAUAAACUUUAUCUGGGAAAUUUUUCUAAUCAAGAAAAUGUAGAAAAGGCGGGCGUUAAAAAAAAUAAACCCUAGAAAAUUAGAAAAUUUCCGGGUUCUCAAACUCAUUUUUUUUCGGGGCGUCACAGUAACAAAUGGAGAAAACUUGUGUAAUUCAUUUGUUGAAAUUGUUGAGAUGGUUGUCCAAAUAAUGUGGUGCAUUUAGUUACUGAUAAUGCCAGUAACUCUAAGGCUGCUAGAGCUUUGCUAAAUGAAAGAUAUUCAAAUAUUUAUUGGUUAUCAUUAAGCUUCUUCAAAAUCUCUGGCGGUAGGUUAGUUAGAAAGUGUCCUCCCAAUUUGUAUUUAAAGUUAAUGAUGAAAGUUUCAAGGGUAUUUUUUAAAAUUACAAGAGCAAAUAUCAUGGUCUACAACAACCAAUCAGAAAGAUUUGAAAGAUUUUUAUAUGAUGGGAAAUGUUGGUGUGUAUUGAUUCAAAAGAAAAGAGUUUCAUGCUCCAUUUUUAAGUUAUCAAACAAAGAUGACGUUGAUAAGGUGCCUAAUUUAACAAUGGGUGAUUUGCGUGGAACUAAUUUUUUAUUUCAAAUUUAUAGUACUGUAAAAAGAUAAUGUUGAUUGUACCUUCGGUGGGUAUUUUUAGAAUCAGCAUCAUGCCUGGGAUGUCUGAGAUGAUAAGUGGUAGGUUGGUCAGAAGGUGUCCUCCCGAUCUGUAUUAAAAGUUAACGAUGGAAGUUUCAAGAAUAUUUUUUGAAAUUACAAGAAUAAAUAUUGUGGUCUAAAACAACCAAUCAAAAAUAUUUGAAAAAUUUUUACAUGACAGGGAAUGUUGGCGUGUAUUGAUUCAAAAGAAAAGAGUUUCAUGUUCCAUUUUUGAAAUAUCAAACAAAUAUGACUUUGAUAAGGUGGCUAAUUUAACAAUGGAUGAUUUGCGUGGAGCCAAUUUUUUACUUCAAAUUUAUGGUACUGUAAAAAGAUAAGGUUGACUGUACUUUCAGUGGAUAUUUUUGGAAUCAAUAUCAUGCCUCAUAUGAUGUAAAUGGUUUGUUUUGAAAGAGGCGUCUGAGGUGAUAAGAGGUAUCAUAUCGUGCUUUGGAAAACUUGUCAAGGUGAAAUUUACCACAGUGAUGUAAUAGGUAUCAAAAUUUUUGUGAUUGGGGAAAAAGUGAAAUUAUUGUUGGCUAAAUUUGAUUACAGAAAUAUGGACAAAAAGAGUGGAAAAGCCAUAUAUUACUUGAUACGAGCUGUCUGUAUCAAAUGUUCAACAACACAGUACUAUGACCUCAUCCUACACAUUUAGUUGCGGAGUAUAAGCCAUUUUGUAAUGAGAAAGAUUUACUGCACCAAAAACACUAUUAUCAUCCUUUCCUCUUAAGGCAUGAAGAGUGUCAGAAAAUUUUUUUACGUAUUUGUUCAAGGAUGAGAGAUAGACUAAAGCAUUCAAAAAUCUAACAAUGGGUGAUUUGCAUGAGACUAAUUUUUUACUUCAAAUUUAUAGUACUGUAAAAAGAUAAAGUUGAUUGUACCUUCGGUGGGUAUUUUUGGAAUCAGCAUCAUGCCUCACAUGAUAUAAAGGGUUUGGUUUGACGAAGGUGUCUGAGAUGAUAAGGGGUAGGUUGGUGAGAAAGUGUCUUCCCGAUCUGUAUUUAAUGUUAAAAAUGAAAGUUUCAAGGAUACUUUUUGAAAUUACAAGAGAAAAUAUUAUGAUCUACAACAACCAAUCAAAAGUAUUUGAAAAAUUUUUACAUGAUGGGGAAUGUUGGUUUGUAUUGAUUCAAAAUAAAAGAGUUUUAUGUUCAAUUUUUGAAAUAUCAAACAAAUAUGACUUUGAUAAGAUGGCUAAUUUAACAAUGGGUGAUUUGCAUGGAGCUAAUUUUUUAUUUCAAAUUUAUGGUACUGUAAAAAAAUAAGGUUGACUGUACUUUCGGUGGAUAUUUCUGGAAUCAGUAUCAUGCAUCAUAUGAUGUUUUGAAGGAGGCGUCUGAGGUGAUAAGGGGUAUCAUAUCGUGUUUUCGAGAACUUGUCAAGGUGAAAAUUUACCACGGUGAUGUAAUAGGUAACAAAAUUUUUGUGGUUAGGGAAAAAGUAAAAUUAUUGUUGGCUAAAUUUGAUUAUAGAAACAUGGAUAAAAAAGGUGAAAAAGCCAUAGAUUACUUGAUACGAGCUGUUUGCAUCAAAUGUUCAACAACACACUACUACGACCUCCUCCUAAACUUUUAGCUACGGAGUAUAAGCUAUUUUAUAAUGUGAAAGAUUUACUACACCCAAAACUCUAUUAUCAUCCUUUCCUCUUGAUGCAUGAAGAGUGUCUGAAAAUUUUCAUACGUGUUUGUUCAAGGAUGGCAGAUAGACUAAAGCAUUCAAAAAUCUAACAAUGGGUGAUUUGCGUGGAAUUAAUUUUUUACUUCAAAUUUAUAGUAGUGUAAAAAAAUAAAGUAGAUUGUACCUGUAGACACCAAAUUUUUUAUUUUUAGCUUUAUUUGUUUAAUUAAUUUAAUUUUAGCUUUAUUUGUUUCAAUUUUAGGUUUUGUAUUUUUAUUUUAUUUUAUUAUUUAUUUUGUCUUCGGGUCUCUUAUUUUUGUUUGAUUUAAGGUUAAAAGCAUAUUUUUUACAUACUAAAUUUCAGAAAAAAAAAAGAAAAUCAUCAAUCAGAAAAAUCCUUUAGCGUUUUAUCUUUUAUUCCUGGUUUUGCUCAUUUUAUUUGAUUUUAGUUAAAAUGUUAUUUUCAUUUUUCUUAAGUUAUUAUAAAAAAAGGAGAAAAAAGGAAAAAAACCACGCAUGCAGCGGAAUUACAGAAUCACGAAGAAUACCAUUUUCCACGGUUUUUAAUGCUUUUCUUUUUUUCCAAACCUUCAGCCACCUCAUCCCCUUGGAUUCUUAUUAAAAACCUUCUGGAACAAUAGCCAUCGGAUGGCCAAGGUAGAGGCAUUGAGCUGGGGUGGUUUGUGACCAUCCAGAUGAGGGUUAAGAGAGAUUCAUGAUGAUAUAAAAGGAAAAGAAAGGAACAGCGUGAGGGGGUUAGGGUGGAUAAGGUUGGCGGCUGAGGAACACAGGAGUUUUUAAGGGACGGCUAAUGAGGCAAGAGAGUUGGCGGCUAGGGUAUUAGAAAAGAAACCAGAGAGGGGAGUUUGGUGACGGCUGAGGGUUGAAGGAAAGUGAGAGAAAACCGAGAGAGAGUUGAGAAAAGAAAAAGAGUGAGCGAGAGGGAGUGUGUGUGUGAUGAAGCCAAAAGAAAACAGCAAAGGAAGAAAAACGGAGAGGAGAGCAGAAGAGCAAAGGAGGAAGACGAAAUCUGGUGUUGUCUCCUCGGCGAGUCAAGAAAUUAUUGGAGCUGCUAACCCCUCACGAGAAGCUGUGAUCACUUCAUCACGCCAUCAUCAGUCUCAAAUCUUCACCGAGAGAAAGAGCACGAGCACUGUAAGUUAGUCUUGUCCUUUAAACUUCAGUAUAUCUUCACGCGCAGAUGCUUGAAGCUGUUGAAGCAUGUAUUCAGUAUCUUUGCCUAUGGAAUGUCUACUAUUUUAUUGUUUACUUUUUCCUUCCUUCUUGUUUCAUGUUCACUAUGAAUCUGUGGCUUUGUUUGUGAGUAAAAAGGCUAAGUCUUUUGGCUGCCAUAGCUAUGUCUUGAAUUCAUGUGAUUGAGAGCUUGUGAACCAAAAAGCCAUCAGCUUUUUCGUUUUUUUUUCCUCCAUGAAAAUGAAUAGGUGGGAGCCGUGGGUUGUGAGUUUGUUGUCAUGGUUGGGCUUUAAAAUGUUUUCUCGAAGUUUUGAGUUAGUGGUCAGUGGAGUAGAUGUUCAUAAUCACUUUGCAUUGCUGCUGAACUUUGUUUGGGAUUAGGAGAUCCUGUUCCAUUACCUUGCUGCAUUUCAUGUUCAUGAGCCCUGUUGAAUCUUCCCUCUCCCCAUUGUCCUAAAUUCUUGCGCUUUAUGUUUGUAUAAGUUAGAACUUGUAAUGGGUCAUUCUUAGUUGAAUAUGUUGGAACUCUUGUCAGGAAUCGUCGCAUUUUCAAGUUACAUUUUGGCCCAUGUUCUUCAUCUUCUUUUUAAAUCAAAAAUUCAUUUUUCAAUUAAAAAAUUGAAUUAAAAGCCAUUUUUCUAAACUCGUCUUUUAUUUUUAUUAAAAAAUGGGGCGCGACAGUACCUUCGGUGGAUGUUUCUAGAAUCAGCAUCAUCCCUCAAAUGAGGUAAAGCAUUUAUUUUGAAGAAGGUGUCUGGAAUGAUAGGGAGUAGGUUGGUUAGAAAGUGUCCUCCCGAUCUGUAUUUGAAGUUAACGAUGGAAGUUUCUAAGAUAUUUUUUGAAAUUACAAGAGAAAAUAUUAUGGUCUACAACAACCAAUAAAAAAUAUUUGAAAAAUUUUACAUGAUGGGGAAUGUUGGCGUGUAUUGAUUCAAAAUAAAAGAGUUUCAUGUCCCAUUUUUAAAAUAUCAAACGAAUAAGACUUUGAUAAAGUGGCUAAAUUAACAACGGAUGAUUUGUGUGGAACUAAUUUUUUACUUCAAAUUUAUGGUACUGUAAAAAAAUAAGAUUGACUUACUUUCGGUGGAUAUUUCUGGAAUCAGCAUCAUGCCUCACAUGAUGUUUUGAAGGAGGCGUCUGAGGUAAUAAGGGGUAUCAUAUCGUGUUUUCGAGAACUUGUGUGAGAACCUCGAAAAAAUGACUGCAUACAUAUAUACAUCUAGGCAUAUUGCAUUGGCAUUCUUGAUUAUUAAAUAAAUUCUAGCUUUAUUUCUACUUGUUAUUAACUAAGUACGUGAAAACAAUUCUCAGGUUACAAAUAAUAUAAUUGUGCCAAAAUAUUAAAUUACUUGGUUUUGUUAAGUUAAUUUAACAUCCCUUGAGGUAGAUUAUUUUAUAGUCUUAAUAUAAAUUCUUUGAAUUCCGAUAGCUAAUCUUAAGCGUUAAUAAUGAUUAAGUGUUAACGGGAACCUUAGCAUCAAGACGAAGUCGAUAUAUUUUAGACAAAACCAUUACAAGUACACUUAGUAUACUUAGGACGUAAAAGUCUCAAAAAUUGAAUAUUUACGAGGUUAGUAUAAUAGUAGGCAUUCAAAUUACAUUCGGGGUAAAUUUUGGAAUUAGAUUAGGAUUGAGGACUUAAGUGGAAAUUCGGAAGAAAUGUGAAAAGACCAAAUUGGCCCUCCACCAUCUCGGAUUUACCAUGCAACCACCAAAGCUUCAUUGGCCAACUUUAAAACACAAACAUUUUCAUCUCUGCCGGAUUGCAUUUCAUUCUCCACUCACACACUCCAUCUCUUUCAUCCGCGAUUUAUCUCUCCAUUUCAACAACUCCAACACCCUACAACACCAUUGCAUUUCACUCCAUUCCCUGCCUUGGUAUCAUCGACGAGAGGAAACCAGAGAGAGAGCUGUGCGAGUUACGAACCUUGAACUGUCCGAGAGAGGGUGAGAGCAAGAGAUAACCGUGCGAGCUUCAUUACUUCCUCCAUCACCACCGAGAGCUGCCAUUCCAUUCUUCACCCUCAACCAGCCGUGAUCAAUUCAACCACAACCACCACAGCUGCAACCACUGAACUCAGAUCAACCAUCCUCGCGUGCGUGAGCAAAGCCGAGAGGCGAGGGAAAAAAAAUUCAGCUUUCUGGUCGCGUGAGUGAGCUCCAUUUGAGGUAAUUUCUGAACUGAAAUUAGCUGAUUAUAGGCAAAUGAGGUCAGCUAUGGACUUGCAUGUGAUGCUUGUGCGUCCGGAUGUUGAAUUGCAACAUAGGAAAAUCUGAUGUGAAGAAAAAUGGGUUGGCCGAGAGAUUUAAUUGGAUAAUGCAGCUAAAAUUUGUUCGAUCGUGAUAAUCUGAGCUUAGAUAGGUGAUUAGCUAACUAGAAACUAGAUGAUUAUGCUAUGCAUGAGGUUAAUCAGUUCGGAUUAAGCAAGAAAAAAAAAUGAAACAAAAAUUUGCUGCAUGCAAGUCAUCCGAAAAUAGUUGACCAAAUUCUGGAAUUGUGGAUGAAUGUUGCUGAUGUCCGAACCUGUUUUGGACUAGAACUGAUAGUAACUCCACUAAUUAGUCAUGCAUGUUAGUUUUGAGUACAUAAUACAAUGAUUCAGCCGAGGAAAAUUUGGAUUGAUGACUGAUUAAGUGCUGGAAAAUUUCUAUGAUAUCCGAGGGAGUGAAGCCAGAAUUUCAGCUUGUUCCUGGAAUUCUCUUUGGAGAAUAAUGUUUAGAAACGUCUGAAAUAUGUCUGUUUUAGGUCUUAUAAGAUAUCUAGAUGUGAAACUCUUGAAAUGUUGGUAGAUUUGGCCGGAAAUGUUGAACUAAGCUGCUGGAAUUUUUCCCAGUGUAGCCGAGUGAAGAAGAAAAGAAUUUUUCCAGAUUUCUUUUGCGAAUUUUGGGUUCUAAAAUUAUGUUAUAAGCUGUAAAAUUCAUAUUGUUGAUUAAGAUACUCCGUAGCAUAAUAAUUACCAUCUGCAUGAUAAGCUGGGAGUGAGAAAGAUGAAGAAAUUGUGGAGGAAGUUUCUCUUAUAAAACUGCCAAAUUGUUAGACAAAAUGUGUGUUAUGUGUUUGGUGUUUUAGGCAAGUAAAAAAAAAAUGGAAACUUUGGCAAAAAAAGGUUGAAGUCAUAUUGCUAGAAAUUUGGUUAAUGGCCAAAUGAGAAAGGAUCUGAAAUUCUUAUAUUGUUUCGGAAAUGUUCAUGAUAAUUGGCUGCAACCUUGAGUAAGAUAUUGUAUAAUAUCGUGUACAUGUUAUUGAAAUUUAAUAUUUGAAUUUUUGGUUGAUUCGUGGUAGUAAAGUAAUUGUUUAACGCCAAGAGCUAAUGAUUGAUGAAGCCUUGGUCAUUUGAGUAAUUUUUACAAGAAUGAGAACCUUGAUGGAAUUGUUUGAUGCCUUGGACUUAUUUUGUUCAAUUUUGAUUAGAAAUGAACCUGUUGAAAUCUAGGGUUAAUGAUUGACGAAACCCUAGUGAAAUGGAUGCUUGAAAUAUGAUUUUGCUAUAUUGACAAAUUGGAGUAUAAAAUUGAAAUGAAUUUGGAAUCGUGAAGUCCAUUUUGGUUCUUGGAAUUUGAGCACUCUUAAACUAAGCUUUGUUGAAAUAUUUUACCUUAGUAUCGAACUAUAAAAUUUGAUAUAGUACGAUAAUGUUAAAAUUAGGGUGUCGGGAUUUAAAAAAAAAAAAAAAAAACCUUGCCAACUAGUUAUUUCUUUCUUUGGCUUAAACUAGCCUUAUUAUUUUUAGAAAAUGAUUACACUAGUCUUUAAACUUUAGAUUUGUUUAAAAAAAAAAAUUUGUCCCAACUAGUUACUUUAGAGAAACUUGUCAAAAAAAAAAAUAUAUAUAUAUAUAUAUAUAUAAACGAGAUUGGGAUAAUUUUAAAGGAAAGACGUAUGAAACUUGCUCGGCAAGAAACCAUACGAAAUAAUUCCACUACUUUUACUAGUUUUAACUUUAAGUGAAUUGUCGUUUUGUCUUGAGAAGAUAAACUAGUUAUACAUACAAAUAAUCUCUCCUACGUAAACCUAGAACUGGUAUAGCCAAACUUAUAGUUUUAAAACUUGGUAUUUUAGGGUUUAACGAGGACGUGGACUUCAAUUCCCAGCUUGACCUUUGAACUUCACUCUUGGUGAGUGUCCCUGCUUGUGCUAUGCUCUUUUUGUUAAGAUGCUUUAUUGACUUGAUAUGUGAUAAUUGGAAAGUGGUUUUCUGAUCCAUCGAAAUGGGCAGUGUGUACUUUACCGCACUAGCUCUUUCGAGUGGUGACUUGUUUGAAAUAUUUUCUUGAAAUAUCCUGUUUGCACUUGCUAAGCACUGAGUAGGGGAAUGUACUACACCUGAGGGUGGGAGGGCCUCUUAUCCUAUCUCAAGUGCUAACACCUUGGAAUACUAGCUAAGUACUGAGUAGGGAAAUGUACCACACCCGAGAGUAGGAGGGUCUCUUAUCCUAACUCAAGUACCCAAUCACUAGGCAGGGGAAUGUAUCACACCUUAGGGUGGGAGGGCCUCUUAUCCUGACCUGGUAAUCACUUGUUGAGACAUAACGUCGUUGGGUGAAUUUCUCGACUAAUCUAUAAAAAGGUAUACUCGAGUAAUACCGAACUACUUGUUAGAAGAACGGGGCCCGGUGGGAGUAAGUUGGUCGGAGUAAGAAAAAAUAAAAAGAUCUACAUGGACCUUAGAUAGUGAAAGUUGACGGAGGGUCAACUACGGAGAAUUUUGAUCAAGCUCGUGGGGAAAGGCUCCUGAGAGCCCUGUAUCCUAUAUUGUGCUAUUAUACGCUUUCCUAAUUGUUUACUUUGGCCGAAGUUAAUACUUGCUAUUUAUUUUAUGUGAUUACAUGUUUUGGGGCACAACUGAGCUUUAGCUCACCCCACGUUAUUUGUUUUCCUUGACAGGUCCUGGCAUUUGAGAGAUCUGAAAUCUAUUUAUACUUUUUAUGAAUGUAGUUUGAAUUAAACAAUGUAUCUUUUGUCUUGGGUUGCCACUUGAAGUUAGAAAAGUGCAAACCCUAAAUUUUGGCUUGUAUAAAUGUAUUUGAAUUUUAUGGUUUCACUUCGUGGUUUGUAAUGUAAUUGUAGUUAUGUGUUAAACUGGUUGGAGAUGUACUUGAGAAUGAAUGUUCAGAUGCCAAUGGCCAUGUUAUCUCUGAAGUUAAUGUGUUUCUAGUAUUCUGGAAGUUUAAAGGAUUGGCUUGUUCGGUUGUCGAAUUUUGUCUUGAUUUAAAUUAUACGUCGGAAGGGUUUAGUUAGUUUUCUUACGUGAGUCCUGGCGAGAGUUAGGCAGGCGACCCGCCAACCCUCUGGUUCGCCUUAGGGAGAAGUGGGGCUGCCACAACUUGUCAAGGUGAAAAUUUACCACGGUGAUGCAGUAGGUAACAAAAUUUUUGUAGUUGGGGGAAAAGUGAAAUUAUUGUUGGCUAAAUUUGAUUACAGAAAUAUGGAUCAAAAAGAGUGAAAAAACGAUUGAUUACUUGAUACGAGCUGUAUGCAUCAAAUAUUCAACAACACACUACUAUGACCUCCUCCUAGACUUUUAGCUACGAAGUAUAAGCUAUUUUGUAAUGUGAAAGAUUUACAACACCCAAAACUCUAUUAUCAUCCUUUCCUUUUUGAUGCAUGAAGAGUGUCAGGAAAUUUUCAUACGAGUUUGUUCAAGGAUGGCAGAUAAACUAAAGCAUUCAAAAAUCUAAUAAUGGGUGAUUUGCGUGGAACUAAUUUUUUACUUCAAAUUUAUAGUACUGUAAAAAGAUAAUGUUGAUUGUACCUUCGGUGGAUAUUUCUGGAAUCAGCAUCAUGCCUCAAAUGAUGUAAAUAAUUUAUUUUAAAGGAGGUGUCUGGAAUGAUAAGGAGUAGGUUGGUUAGAAAGUGUCCUUCCGAUCUGUAUUUUAAGUUAACGAUGGAAGUUUCUAGGAUUUUUUUUGAAAUUACAAGAGAAAAUAUUAUGGUCUACAACAAUCAAUAAAAAAUAUUUGAAAAAUUUUACAUGAUGGGGAAUAUUGGUGUGUAUUGAUUCAAAAGAAAAGAGUUUCAUGUUCCAUUUUUGAAACAUCAAACGAAUAUGACUUUGAUAAUGUGGCUAAAUUAAUAAUGGAUGAUUUGCGUGGAACUAAUUUUUUACUUCAAAUUUAUGGUACUGUAAAAAGAUAAGAUUGACUGUACUUUCGGUGGAUAUUUCUGAAAUCAGCAUCAUGCCUCACAUGAUGUAAAGGUUUUGUUUUGAAGGAGGUGUCUGAUGUGAUAAGGGGUAUCAUAUCGUGCUUUGGAUAACUUGUCAAGGUGAAAACUUACCAUGGUGAUGUAAUAGAUAACAAAAUUUUUGUGGUUGGAGAAAAAGUGAAAUUAUUGUUGGGUAAAUUUGAUUACAGAAACAUGAAUAAAAAAGAGUGGGAAAGCCAUAGAUUACUUGAUACGAGCUGUCUGCAUCAAAUGUUCAACAACACACUACUAUGACCUCUUUCUAGACUUUUAGCUGCGGAGUAUAAGUUAUUUGUAAUGUGAAAGAUUUACUGCACCCAAAACUCUAUUAUCAUCCUUUCCUUUUGAUGCAUGAAGAGUAUCUGAAAAUUUUUUUAUGUGUUUGUUCAAGGAUGAGAGAUAGACUAAAGCAUUAAAAAAUCUAACAAUGGGUGAUUUGCGGGGGACUAAAUUUUUUAUUUCAAAUUUACAGUACUGUAAAAAGAUAAGGUUGAUUGUACCUUCAGUGGGCAUUUCUAGAAUUAGCAUCAUGCCUCACAUGAUAUAAAGGGUUUGGUUUGAAAAAGGUGUCUGAGAUGAUAAGGGGUAGAUUGGUGAGAAAGCGUCUUCCCGAUCUGUAUUUGAAGUUAACAAUGAAAGUUUCAAGGAUACUUUUUAAAAUUACAAGAGAAAAUAUUAUGGUCCACAACAACCAAUCAAAAGUAUUUGAAAAUUUUUUACAUGAUGGGGAGUGUUGGUGUGUAUUGAUUCAAAAGAAAAGAGUUUCAUGUUCCAUUUUUUAAAUAUCAAACAAAUAUGACUUUGAUAAGGUGGCUAAAUUAACAAUGGAUUAUUUGCGUGAAACUAAUUUUUACUUCAAAUUUAUGGUACUGUAAAAAGAUAAGGUUGACUGUACUUUCAGUGAAUAUUUCUGGAAUCAGCAUCAUGCCUCACAUGAUGUAAAGGUUUUGUUUCGAACGAGGCGUCUGAGGUGAUAAGGGGUAUCAUAUCGUACUUUGGAGAACUUGUCAAGGUGAAAAUUUACCACGGUGAUGUAAUAGGUAUCAAAAUUUUUGUGAUUGGGGAAAAAGUGAAAUUAUUGUUGACUAAAUUUGAUUAUAGAAACAUGGAUAAAAAAGAGUGAAAAAGCCAUAGAUUACUUGAUACGAGCUAUCUGCAUCAAAUGUUCAACAACACACUCUCCUCGACUUUUAACUGCGUAAUAUAUGCUAUUUUGUAAUGUGAAAGAUUUACUACACCCAAAACUCUAUUAUCAUCUUUUCCUCUUGAUGCAUGAAGAGUGUCAAGAAAUUUUCAUACGUGUUUGUUCAAAGAUGGCAGAUAGACUAAAGCAUUCAAAAAUCUAACAAUGGGUGAUUUGCAUGGAACUAAUUUUUUACUUCAAAUUUAUGGUACUGUAAAAGGAUAAGGUUGAUUGUACCUUCAGUGGGUAUUUCUGGAAUCAGCAUCAUGCCUCAAAUGACGUAAAGGAUUUAUUUUAAAGGAGGUGUCUAGAAUGAUAAGGAAUAGGUUGGUUAGAAAGUGUCCGCCCGAUCUGUAUUUUAAGUUAACGAUGGAAGUUUCAAAGAUAUUUUUUGAAAUUACAAGAGAAAAUAUUAUGGUCUACAACAACCAAUAAAAAAUAUUUAAAAAUUUUACAUGAUGAGGAAUGCUGGUGUGUAUUGAUUCAAAGGAAAAGAGUUUCAUGUUUCAUUUUUGAAAUAUCAAACGAAUAUGACUUUGAUAAGGUGGCUAAAUUAACAAUGGAUGAUUUGCAUGGAACUAAUUUUUUAAUUCAAAUUUAUGGUACUGUAAAAAGAUAAGAUUGAUUGUACUUUCAGUGGAUAUUUCUGGAAUCAGCAUCAUGCCUCGCAUGAUGUAAAGGUUUUGUUUUAAAGGAGGCGUCUGAGAUGAUAAGGGAUAUCAUAUCGUGCUUUGGAGAACUUGUCAAGGUGAAAAUUUACCACAGUGAUGUAAUAGAUAACAAAAUUUUAGUGGUUGGGGAAAAAGUGAAAUUAUUGUUGUGUAAAUUUGAUUACAGAAACAUGGAUAAAAAAAAAUGGAAAAGCCAUAAAUUACUUGAUACGAGCUGUCUGCAUCAAAUGCUCUACAACACACUACUACGACCUCCUCCUAGACUUUUAACUGCGUAAUAUAUGCUAUUUUGUAAUGUGAAAGAUUUACUACACCCAAAACUCUAUUAUCAUCCUUUCCUCUUGAUGCAUGAAGAGUGUCAGAAAAUUUUCAUACGUGUUUAUUCAAUGACGGCAGAUAGACUAAAGCAUUCAAUAAUCUAACAAUGGGUGAUUUGCGUAGAACUAAUUUUUUUAUUUCAAAUUUAUAGUACUGUAAAAAGAUAAGGUUGAUUGUACCUUCGGUGGGUAUUUCUGGAAUCAGCAUCAUGCCUCAAAUGAUAUAAAUGAUUUAUUUUAAAGGAGGUGUCUGGAAUGAUAAGGAAUAGAUUGGUUAGAAAGUGUCCUCCCGAUAUGUAUUUUAAGUUAACGAUGGAAGUUUUAAGGAUAUUUUUUGAAAUUACAAGAGAAAAUAUUAUGGUCUACAACAACCAAUAAAAAAUAUUUGAAAAAUUUUACAUGAUGGGGAAUGUUGGUUUCUAUUGAUUCAAAAGAAAAGAGUUUCAUGUUCCAUUUUUGAAAUAUCAAACGAAUAUGACUUUGAUAAGGUGGCUAAAUUAACAAUGGAUGAUUUGCAUGGAACUAAUUUUUUACUUCAAAUUUAUGGUACUGUAAAAAGAUAAGGUUGACUGUACUUUCGGUGGAUAUUUCUGGAAUCAGCAUCAUGCCUCACAUGAUGUAAAUGUUUUGUUUUAAAGGAGGCGUCUGUGGUGAUAAGGGGUAUCAUAUCGUGCUUUAGAGAAUUUGUCAAGGUGAAAAUUUACCACGCUGAUGUAUUAGGUAACAAAAUUUUUGUGAUUGGGGGAAAAGUGAAAUUAUUGUUGGCUAAAUUUGAUUACAGAAAUAUGGAUAAAAAAGAGUAGAAAAGCCAUAGAUUACUUGAUACGAGUUGUCUGCAUCAAAUGUUCAACAACACAUUACUACGACCUCCUCCUAGAUUUUUAACUGCUUAAUAUAUGCUAUUAAUGUGAAAGAUUUACUACAUCCAAAACUCUAUUAUCAUCCUUUCCUCUUGAUGUAUGAAGAGUGUCAGAAAAUUUUUAUACGUGUUUAUUCAAGUAUGAAAGAUAGACUAAAGCAUUCAAAAAUCUAACAAUGGGUGAUUUGCGAGGGACUAAAUUUUUUAUUUCAAAUUUAUAGUACUGUAAAAAGAUAAGGUUGAUUGGACCUUCGGUGGGUAUUUCUGGAAUCAGCAUCAUACCUCACAUGAUAUAAUGGGUUUGGUUUGAAGAAGGUGUCUGAGAUGAUAAGGGGUAGGUUGGUGUGAAAGUGUCUUCCCGAUCUGUAUUUAAAUUUAAUGAUGGAAGUUUCAAGGAUAUUUUUUGAAAUUACAAGAAUAAAUAUUGUGGUCUAAAUCAACCAAUCAAAAAUAUUUGAAAAAUUUUUACAUGAUGGGGAAUGUUAGUGUGUAUUGAUUCAAAAGAAAAGAGUUUCAUAUUCCGUAUUUGAAAUAUCAAACAAGUAUGACUUUGCUAAGGUGGCUAAUUUAACAAUGGGUGAUGUGCGUGGAGCUAAUUUUUUAAUUCAAAUUUAUGAUACUGUAAAAAGAUAAGGUUGACUGUACUUUCGGUGGAUAUUUCUAGAAUCAGUAUCAUGCCUCACAUGAUGUUUUGAAGAAGGUGUCUAAGGUGAUAAGGGAUAUCAUAUCGUAUUUUUGAGAACUUGUCAAGGUGAAAUUUACCACGAUAAUGUAAUAGAUAACAAAAUUUUUGUGGUUGGGGGAAAAGUGAAAUUAUUAUUGGCUAAAUUUGAUUUCAGAAAGAUGGAUAAAAAAGAGUGGAAAAACCAUAGAUUACUUGAUACGAGCUGUCUGCAUCAAAUGUUCAACAACACACUACUACGACCUCCUCCUAGACUUUUAGCUACGGAGUAUAAGUUAUUUUGUAAUGUGAAAGAUUUACUGCACCAAAAACUCUAUUAUCAUCCUUUCCUCUUGAUGCAUGAAGAGUGUCAGGAAAUUUUCAUAUGUGUUUGUCCAAGGAUGAGAGAUAGACUAAAGCAUUCAAAAAUCAAUAUUGGACAUUGGACAUGUAGAAUCCGACAAGCUAACCAACCUAUUUGUAUUGUUGUGCUUAAUUAUCCUGCCAUUGAGCGGCAAAGAAAAGUGACGAAACUACAAAACUAACUAAGUUUGGCAAGUCCACCACCAGUGAUUGGCUCACACGAUUACAACGAUGACUUUUGUCCUAUAUAGAUUUUUUUAAAAAUUUUAGUGCUCAUAUUGAAAAUCCUGACACACUCAAUAAUUAUUGGCAGCUAAUAAGAAACUUUAAUUCAAAUUCGUCAUUUUGCCUGAAAGAGAUAUAGCUUUGGCAAGUAAUUUAGAGGGUAAUUAUCUCAUGAGAAUUUACAACAAUGCUAUUUUUGAAGACUUAAAGUUUUGAAACCUGACUUAAAAGUUAUAUUUUAUGAAUCUUACUCUUGCAUUCUAGCAAGUUAAGCUCUUUCAUGUCUUCUGCGAGACAAAUAGAUGGGUUAGCUAAGUUAUGGACAAAUUGGAUUAAAAUUUUAUAAUUUUUGAAAAAUUGUCCUUGCUAUAUAUUUUUUGCACUAGAUGAAAACUUGAGAGGAGAAAUUUGUUUUCCUUAUACUACCGAGUGCUAAAGUAAUCUAGAAAUAUCAUUGAUCUUCAUUCCCUAUUUGCUUGUCUUUAGUUAGUUUUUUGAGGAUGUCAUAUCAACAACUGCUAAAUCGAUUGAUGUAAUUGUGUCAAUUAAGCUGUAAACAUCCGAACUUGGCAUAGGGUAAAUGAAUGUAAUGUAAUGGUCCUUUUACUUUUUUUCGAAAAAAAUAUUUAUUAGUCACUAUGUAUUGCACACUAUAUCAAUUUAAUUUUGAAAGAUAUUGGUGAAAUGAGCGACAUAAAAGUUCUAGUGUCUCUUGCUUUAAUAGUGACUUUUUUUUAAUCUAUAAUCGCCAGUUCAUAUUGAAUUGAUUAAGAAAGAUUGUAGGGUGGGAAAAAAUUAUCCAUUCAGGUGAAACUCGAUCUGCAACUACCUUUAUUGCAUUGAAAAGUUUGCAUGAUCAUAAGGAUAGUUUCCAAUCUUUGGCUACAAGUGGAACAAAAAAUUUUUGAGAAUUGAAAAUGGGAAAGAGGUGAAGCAAAUUAUUUUGGAUGAAAGAUUUUGGAAUAAUUAUUUGAUUAUGGUGUGAAUAAUGGGUCCACUUAUUCGUUUAUUACUUAUUUGUGGAAUUGAUGAAAGGCUUUCAUUAGGUCAUGUUUAUGAAAAUAUGUUUAGAGCAAUAAAUGACUUCAAAAAUCUGUUUAAAAAUAAAUAUUUGUUAUACAAGCCUUAUAUUAAUAUCAUCAAUGAUAGAUGGGAUAGGGUGUUGAGCAAAAAAAUUUACAUGCUGCAAUUUAUUAUUUGAAUCCUACUUUUCAGUAUGAUAGUCCUACAUUUUUCACACAUCCAAAGAUUAUAAAUGGGUUGUUAGAUUAUAUUGAAACAAAAGUGAAUUAGUAUGAUUUUGCAAAAUUAUCACAAGAGAUUGGAAUAUAUCGAAAAUGGCAAGGAAGUUUUGGACGAAAACUUGCUAUUCUUACUUGCAAGUCGGAUUGUCCAAAUAAUUUAUAUUUUUUCUGACAUUUAUAAUUUAUGAAUUUAUUCUUUACGUUAUCUAAUAUUUUAAUGUGAUAAUGAUAGAGAAUUGGUGGAAGUUAGACUAUAUGAUUGUGAUGCUCCAAAUUUGCAAAAGUUUGCAAUUAGAAUUUUAAGUCAGACAGUUUCUUCUUCUAGAUAUGAACACAAUUGGAGUAUUUUUGAGCUCAUUCACAUUGAAAAAUAAAUAGAAUGGAGCAUCAAAGACUCUAUGAUCUUGUUUAUGUGUACUAAAAUUUGCGCUUGCAAUAUUAGUAUAAUUAGUUUCUCUUUGUCUUUGAUUUUUUUAAUGUACUACUAAAUUUAUAACAAGUGUAUUAUUUUAUAGGAACGAUCAACAAAAGAGAUUUUAUGAUCCCAUUAAUUAUGAAUUUGUAGACAAAAUGAAAUUUUGGGUCGUAAGAGAAAAAAAUGGUAAUUUUGAUUAUGAUGAAUUAGAGAAAAAACUUGAAGAAUUUCCUAAUGAUGAUUUCCAAUCUCAAGGUUGGUUUGACAGGUGUCGAGUUUGUAUAAUAAUAAAUAUCUAAUAGAUAUUCUAAAAAGGAAAACGAUAAAAUAAAGUAGUUUCUUAAUAUGAACAAAAUAGCCAAAGAUUAAUCAUCUGGAGAAAGGAAUUUGAUCUCAGCAACUUUUGAUUUGGAGUUGGAAACUACCAUACUGUGAAAAUCACGAACAUCCCGAUGUUUUACUGCAUAUAAAUCUUUCAAAAAUUACCUAUUUAGCUACUUCUUGUACCACGCUCCUGUAAUUAACACAACUUACCAAAGAUAAGUAAUAUCCACCAACUAAUGCAAUAUUUGGUCAAAAUUAAGGAAAAAUAUUCAUAAAUUUACUAACAAAAUAUACCUUGUCAUGGUUCUAAAUUAAAAUACAUAAUUUUUACUUGUAACAUGAGAUGCUAAAAGUGUAAAAUUGAGUUUUAAAUUUUUCUGUAAGUAUUGAUUAGUACACAUUUGUUGUAUCAUUUAUUUAUUCAGAUGAUGAAAAUGAAGUUGAGAAAGAUAUUGAUUUGGAAGCAUUUCAACGCAAACGCCUUUUGGAUGGUGGGGAUGAUAAUGAUUGGUGAUAGAAACAUUUUAAUUUUUAACUGGAAAUGAUUAGUAGCAUUUAAAUUUUUAGGUGUUUAGUUGUAUUCUAUUCUCUUUGAAGUUUUUUAUUUUUUUAAUUAGUUAUUUUUUUUAUUUGAGUUUGAUGAAAUUUGACUUGUAUCUUUGUUUUAAGUUUUUGACUAUGUUAGGUUAAAUUGAAGAAAUUGUUAAGGUAUUGAUGUUCACAUAUAUGAUGUUACCUUGUGAUGACAAUAAAGGAAGUUUGUUAUAGGCGGUUGACGAAUUAUAUAACUUCAUUUUCUUUUCUCUCAAUCUAAUUUUCUUGCCAAAUAGUUCUUGUUCCUCAACUCAUCAACUCUUAAUCAAGAACCAGGUCCGGGUCCUUCUUCCUCAAAAUUUUCUACUUAGAGAACCCUAAUUCAUUAGAAUGGAAGGAAAGAACGAGAUACAUGAAGCACAGAAAUUACUCCGUGGCGGCGAUUCGCUGCCGUUUGAUGAACUCAUCUCGCAAUUCGCGUCCAAAGUCCAGCCUUCUAACAUCAUUGGCUACUGCGACAACAUAGAGAUUCUUCUCACCAACGCAACUUUUCUUUGUUUCUAAUCUCUCUCUCAAUUAGGUUUAUUCUUUUUAUUUUUUCCUUGUUCGAUAAGAGCCUAUAAAAUCUGGUAAUUGGCCUGUCCUUCCGUGUUAUUGAUUAAGUUUUUUGUAAGCAAAAUUGAGAGUGGCAGUGUAAUAAGCUUUGUAGUUGGGAUAAAGGAAUUCAGUUUUAAUGAUUUUAAUGAAGAGUUAGUCCGAAAGGAUUUAUUUAGAAAACAAAAUAAAGGAAGUUUGUUAGUGAAAGUUUGAAACCAUUGUUGUUGUACUUCAAUUGUUAGAGUUGCUCUGACUUUUUUAUGAACCUUUUAAGAUUGUGGCAUGUACUUUAAUUAACAUUUGGAUUACGCUUAUUAAUCUUAUUUAUGUUUGGCACAAGUAUUCAUAAAUAUCUUGUCCUAAAAGAUGAUGGAAGUUUGUUAGUGAAAGUUUGAAACCAUUGGUCUUGAGAUUGUUGUUGUACUUCAAUUGUUAGAGUUGCUCUGACUUUUUUAUGAACCUUUUAAGAUUGUGACAUGUACUUUAAUUAACAUUUGGAUUACGCUUAUUAAUCUUAUUUAUGUUUGGCACAAGUAUUCAUAAAUAUCUUUUCCUAAAAGAUGAUGUCUUUAAUAUGAGAAAAUAUUACCAGUGGCAUUCUGCUAACAUAUGUUCCCUGUAAAAAAAAAAAAAAGAGAGAAGCAUUUUUACUGGUUGGUUGAACCAGUUGUAUCGUUAACAGUUCCCCUUACGGUUCAUUGGCUGGUCUAAGUUUAAAAACAUUAGUUGUUGAUUAUCUAUUUUUAUUCCUUUCUUUAUUAAUUGCAAUGUCUUUCAAUGGUAAUCUAGUUGUCAAUCUAUGUAUCAUGGCAGUUAUUGGUUAUCUAUUUUGAUCCCUUUUUUUAUUAAUUGCCAUGUCUUUCAAUGGUAAUCUAGUUGUCAAUUAUCUUCAAAUCAUAGGAUUGUAUGGUAGGGGAGCAAAAUGUUUACCUUUUCAUUUCAAUAUUCCAAUAGGUAAAUUAGAAUGAACUUUCAAGUGAUUUCUUUUGGUUUGAUGUCAAAAUGUGCAAGAUAUAUGCUAAUGAUUGGGGUACAAAUUGUCCAAAUACUUGUACUUAAUAAUAUCCAAGAAGUGAUUUUUCCAAAAAAAAAAAAAAAAAGGUCAAUCCAAGCAAAAAAGUUUUUCAGAAAUAACAAAUUUUGAUAUACAACAAUCCAUACGAUAGGUCUUGUUUUUUAAAUACAUCAGCAUUAAAAUUUUUUUAAAAACCACUCCAAAAGCACCUAAGCCAUAUGUGUAACUUUUCUCUGGCUUUGCAGAGAAAGCAACUUAUGACUUUAGUAAGUCUAAGGAUAUAUAAUGUAUCUCCAAUCAAAACACUAAGAACUACCCAACGGCCAAGGAUAGGUCAUUGCAUGUUGCUCUUACUUUUUGUUGGGGUAUUUUAAUAAAAAUUACAAAUAUUCCAUAAUUAUUUAUUAAUAUUUUCGAUUACAAAUUCUAUACAUUAUUACGUAAAUAUGUAACGGCUAUAAUGGUUAAAUAGGCAUACCAGCUAUAACAAUUAACCUAUUAAAUACGCAACAGUUAUAAUGGUUAAAUAGGCAUAACAAUUAUAAUGGUUAAAUGACUUUAUAAAUUUUGAAUUGACUGUUAUAUAAUUAAUCUAGACUAUUAUGUUUUAUAACCGAAAUUUCAUUAUGACUACUCGUUAUUACCUAUUUGUAACCCCUAUAUUUCCUUAUACUAUAUAAGAAUGAGUUUAGGGCAAAGAAAAUACAUCGGUUGUUAAAUAUAUAAUUACAUAAUAUAGCAUUGGAGUUUUGUUAAAUUUUUGAUAAUGUAGUUCGGACAGACGCAAAUAUUUUAAUAUCUCCCAUUAAUGAUUAAUUCUUAUCUGCUCACCCAUUCUAUGGGAAUAAUGGGACAUAACAGAAAUGAAAAAGGGGAUUCUGAUCGCAGAUACAAACUACCUAGGCACAAAACUAAAGAAGUCCAGAUUAAGUUGUUCCUUUUUUUAUUUUAACCUAACCUAUAUUAACAUUAAGAGACUUAAUUCUAUUGAGUUUGAGUCAACUUUAUUAGUACCAAAUAUAGUUAGAAUUCAGAAAUCCAUAGAAAAAUUAAUAAAUAAUUAGACUACCCUAUUUACGAGAUAAAGAAUAAUAGAUAGAAUCGUUGAAAUUUUCAAUUUUGAUAAAAUAGAAAAUAGAUAUGGGACAGAGGGUUUUUCUAAAUAACUAACUUCUCUAAAUUAGGAAGAUUUUGAACAUAUAAUGAAAAGAUCACUCGCCCUUUUUGAAUUUGAAUUCAAACGUGUGGAAACUUAUAAAUAGAGGUUCUAUCAGUAAAAUUCUUACUUCAAUUGGGUUCUAAAUCUAUGUCCUACGAAGGAAUUUUUUUUACUAUCUUUAUCUUUCCAUUACUACAAUAUACAAUAUAUUAUAGAGAUGUAUUAUUAAUAACGUAUUUCAUAUGGGGGAAAAAAUGAUGUUAUGUGAGAUUUCUAUCUCACUCCAAUAGUGUAGAUUGGAGUACAUUAUAGGAACGAAAAAUUGGGCUAUUAUAUUCUGAAAGCUACUUGUUGAGACCUAUUACAACGGAUUAUAUACUGUAGGGUGCAAAUCGUUUUAAAUAAAGUGACCUAAUCCGCCCCUUAAUCCACGCCAAACUAACUUUUAUAGUACAAAUUAUUGGCAUUUUCUUCACGCAAUAUUGAGGUAUGAGAUUUUCGCUAAUUUCCUUGUUAAGUUUAAUUAGAAAAAUUAUUGUUACUUGUAUGAUUAUUUUAGUCCAGAACCAACACUUCUCCUGGUUGACUUCUUGUUGCUUUUUUUAUAACUCUAUAUUGAAACUACCUAAUUGCAAGUAUAUGUGUUUUGCCCUUUUUCAAGAUUGUUUUUAUAUAUUAUAAAAAAAAAUACAUGUUUUAUAUAAGCAUUCUUAUGAUAUAACUCUUAGUAAAAUAUGAAUCUUUUUUAAUUCAAGAUUAGCAGUGGAAUGAACAAAGACUACAAUGUCAAGGUGGGAGCUUCCUAAAGUAUGGAUACAGCUUAAUGACCUCUACUACUAAAAAAACAUAAUCAAUAAUCAAUAAAGGGCAAACAAAUGGGUUCAUUCUUAUUAGGAUUCCAAUUAAUGUCAAUAUGUUCUUAUUUUUUAUUAAGUACUAUUGGGUUUGAUCCCAUUGAGGCCUAAUCUCAAAUAUCAUAGGGUAAAUGAUGUUGGCACUCCCAAAAAAGCUUUUGCAACUCCUUAGAUACUAAAUUAUGAUUUAAUGAGUGAAAUUGUCAUUAAAUUCACUUUUGCCCUUAUUUCACCAAAGUGGUAUCUUCUAUUAGGAUUCAAACAGCUAUUGAAAUAUCAAAUACACAACAAUUUAAUGACAAACAAGUCAUAAGUAUGAAAAAUAAAUGACACACAAUAUUUAAUGUGGUUCGACUCCAUCAAUGAGUCUAUGUCCACAAAGAGAAACCUGUACUUUAUUAUGAGAGGAAAAUUCUAUAUAAGAAUAUAACUUGAACCCAAAUUCAAACCCUUGUAUAUUAUCUCUUAUCUUCCAAGAAUCCUCUCUCCAUGUAUAAGGUUAUACGUCGUUCUUGUGUGUCCCUUGUGUGCCCCUGUGUAGUAUGCCAACUCAAUUAUUUAUAGAGAAUAUUAUUUGGCCAAAAAACCAAAUAACAACUAAAAACCAAUGCUAAUUCCUAAACUUAUACAAAAUAGGAAAUACUUUCUAAAUUCUAAAUAAAAUAAAAAAUUCUCAACAACGAUUUCAAGUAACCAAAACCAAAUAGGCAACUAGUGGAAGCCAAUUAGGAAACUAGUUACUUCCACACAAAACAAAAAAUCUGUUUAAAAGAAAUUAAGCCAAUUUUCUAACAAAUUUCCAUCUUGACAAAUAUUUCUUUAGCAACCAUUUGCUUUCAAUUAUCAAAUAAUAUAAUACUAAACUACACACCCGAACCAAUGCAGUCCUGAUACUUAAUUGAUUCAAUCGGCAAAUGAACAUAUGUAGUUAUCUCAAAUCCAAUUUUCAAUUGACUCGUGAGAAGAAGUCUCAAUUCACCAUCUCCCUUUUUAAAAUUUCUUCUCAUCACUACUUGUAACUUGAGAUUCCCUUCUGUGAGCUCUAUUUUUAAUCAUUGGGGCAACUAAAUGGUAAAAUCACCACACAUCUUCCCAUCUUCAGGGUUGUUUUGCCAUGUGUGGUUUUCAAAACUCCACCUGCAACGUAAAACUCAUAGCCAUUAGAGUCUUCUGGCAUUUGAAAAUUAAAUUCUUUUAUUUCUUUAGAACAUAUGCUACACCACCUAAAGAAUAUAAUUCGAAUCCAGAAACCAUCCGAAAUGAAAUAUCAACCGUUGGAGAUGUGAGAAAACCUCCGUCAAUUCAUGUCCAAAAAUCGACAUUGAACUCCAUCUUUUUCUUGGCCCUUGGAUCACCUAUCUAAAUUUAUUGUCAAGUGUUUUCAUGGUUUUCGGCUCCUAAUCAUUUACCAUCAAUGCUUCUUGUUAAGCCAUUGAAACAAGGAUAUAAAUUAUUAAAUUGUUCAAUUGGUAAUAGCCACCAAUCUACUUAAUCUCAAUGGUAAACAUGGAUCCAACCAUAAAUCCUACUCUAAUAUCAGUUUGUUGGGAUCCACUUACUCGUGAGCAGCCCAAUCUCGUAACUUGGUUCUGAUACCAGUUGUUAGGAUUCAAACGCGGAAUAAACAAUUAUUGAGAUAUCAAGUACACAACAUUUAAGGACAAAUAAGUCACAAGCAAAAAAGAUAAACGACACACAAUAUUUAAUAUGGUUCGACUUUAUCAUUGAACUUACAUCUACGGAGAGAAAUCCGUUCUUUAUUACGAGAGGAAAACCUUAAAUAAGAAUACAAUUUGAAUCUAAAUCCAAACCCUUGUAUACCAUCUCUCGUCUCCCAAGAAUGUUCUCUCACCCCCAUCUAUAAGGCUAUAUGUCGCCCUUGUGUGUCCCUUGUGUACUCGUAUGUAGUAUGCCAACCUACUUAUUUAUAGAGUAUAUUAUUUGGCCAAAAACCAAAUAACAACAGGAAACCAAUGUUAAUUUCUGAAUAUAUAUAGAAUAGGAAAUAACUUCUAAAUUCUAAACAAAAUAGAAAAUUUUUUGACACCUACUUCAAGUAAUCAAAACUAAUUAGGAAACUAAUUACUUCCACAUAAAACAAGAAAUCUGCCUAAAAGAAAUUAAACCAUUUUUCUAACAUCUUUUUCCUUUCCAACUAACCAAGUAAUGCAACACAUAACUUGCAAUGUCCAUUAGUGGCCUGUAAUUAAAGUUUAUGAUGAUAGUGGUAUUCUUGUAAUUUUCAAUAUUUAUAUGGUAAGAUAUACAAGGAUAAUGUCAAAUAUACUUGUUGAAUUUUAUUGUUGAUUAUUUGUGAGUCAUUUUCUUCUGGGCUUAAAAAAAUCCAAAUAAUAAAUUAAGGAGUUGAAUGUGUCAUGUAUUAUGAGAUAGAUUUUAUCAAGUUUGGUGAUGAUUGUUGGGACAGGGGCGUAGUUUACACUAUAAUUGUGGUUAUUCUCAGUGGAAUUUGGAUUUUUUUGGGGAAAAUUAAGAAUUAGAUUCCCAAAAUAUCCAUUUAUAUACACACACAUCUAUAAAACCUUACCAUGUUAAUUAAAUUGAAAACUUUGCUAUUGUUAAAAGUAUAUCUCCUAAAAUCAACAUGAUAAGUGGAGGUAAGAUACUGUGACAACCCCACCUCCCCCUAAGGCGAACCAAAGGGUUCGGCGGGCCGUCUGCCCAACUCUCGCCGGGACUCAGUCGUUCACUAAAGUUCUCGAUUAAAUUACAAGAUAUAUCUCAAAUUUACAUCAAAUUCUCCAAUAAUUACAUGUCAUAAGCGAAGCGGAAACAAUUCUCAACUAUACAUAAAAUGAUUCCAAAUCUAAACUGUACAAGAUAUAUGCCAUCCAGUCACGUGAAUAAGUAUUGCAAGCCUUCUUUCGCCACGAGCCCUGUGGAGGGGAAUAAAAUAUUUUUGGGGUAAGCUAGAAGCUCAGUGAGUAACCAAUAAAAUCAGUAAUCAAAUAUAUUUCACAAUCGUUCAUUUCAAUGAUGUCAUGAAUCAGUAAUCAAAUGUACGUUUAUUGCUCUCAUGAGCAAGUGAAAUCAUUGUACUUAAACACCCAACGCUCAAAAAGAUCUUUUAACGUUAACGUUGAACAGUAAGAGGGAGCAACGUUGGUGCUCCAGAUCAUGUCACAAACUCACGAAAGUGGUGGAGACGUUGGCUCCAGGUAAAUAGUAGAGGAGACGUUGGUGUUCAGCACAAGACUCCCCAAGAACUCAUUUAAGCCAAAUCAUUUCAUGGACUCACAUGCCGGCACACAUGAUAUGUAAACGAGUAAAUAAUGCAAGAAACACUUCGUAAGUAACUUUGGAAACAGUUUAGGGUCACUCACCAACUAGGGCUCUUAAUUCUCAUCCAUCAUAGACAAUUCCUCGAUCAAGUCCAAGCUCUUCAUUCUACCAAUAAUUAACCCAAACUCACAGCGAUUAAACGUUCUCAAAGAUUGGACAACACUUCCCUUUAAAUUCCUUAUUUUCCAUCCUACAAGACAUUACAAAUCACAUCUCAACUCAACUCAAUCACAAUAAAGCCCCAAAGUCAUACAUAAAAUCAUCUCAUUUCAAUAGCCGUUCAAUAGGUUCAAAGUCAUUCAAGUACAAAAUGUAGCUAGGAAAAUGACCGGAAAUGAAAGUUAAGCCCUAAAAUCCAAAAAUAGUUUUGACGUCGUUUAGUAUAUUGGACACAACCAGCGCUACGAUUAACAGAUGGAUGUGAAAUAUACACCAUUUUGAAGCUAAAAGAAAGGGCUACAAUGUUGAAGAAGGCCACUCAGUCCAGUUUACAAUGUAUCUAGGUCAAAUUUACCAAAACAACCCCAGAUUUUCCAGUUCGGAGUUUACUGUGGCAGUCCUGAUUCAUUCGAUCAUAUCUCAGCACAUACAACUCCAAUUCAAGUGAUUCCAAAGCCAUCUGAAAGCUAAGAUACAAAGAUAUAAUUCUUAAGAAGAUAUCAACAACCAAAUCAGUAGUAUUCCCAUUCAAACUAACCAAUUACAGAAGCUGAUUAUCAGCUUCGGACAGAAACAGGGCAGCAGGGGUAUUUUGGUCUUUUCACAGGCUACGUUACUCCGAUUGAGUUAAAAUUUUUCAGGCAACUAUAAAACAUCAUUCUCUACAACUUUCAUGUUUUAAUCCAAGGCUAAUUCGGCCUCCAUCCUAUCCAAACAGUGUCGGGAAGAAUGAGGUUCAAUGAAACCCUAAUCUGGAAAUUUUCCAUAAUACUACUUCCAACCAUGAAAUAUGCUCAUAAAUUACCAAAACUACAACUUUAAACCACUAAUUAGCAAUUAAUUGAAGUAAAGAGGAUGUUCUAGGCAAAAUACCUUAAAACCACAAGAAAGGUAGGAGCUUAAUCUUUCGUCCUCCAAAAUAACUCCACCAACACCUUUAACCUUCCCUAAUGAUCACUUGUAUGGUGUGGUUUGUGAUUUGGUUGGUUAAAACUCAAGAUUGAAGCUAACAAGUGGAGUAGAAAAUGAAGUUUUUCUCUCUUAUUUUGCUCCUCUUAACAACCGGCCAUGACAAGAAAAAUGGGAGAAAAAUUGAGUCAAAAUUGCUUUUAGUAAAGUUAGAAAAGUCUUGGUCAAAUUCAACAUCUAAUGGUUUUGUGACACUUGGCACCUCUAAGCUUUAAUCUUAUUUUCUUGUCUCUCCAUACUAAUCCAUAUAGGUAACUUCUAAUUCUCUCUUAGCACCUUGUAAAAUAAGAUCAUUUAAUACAAACUCCAACAAGUUGCCAAAAUAUAACGCAUUUACCGCACUAGCGGGUCCCACGUCGAUAAUACACUUCAAACUUAACGUGGACUAACUUGUAUCAAGAAAAUGAUUUGAAAACUAUAUUCCCUUAUAAAAAUGUAUAAGAAAUUAAUAUAUUGAAGAAAGACAUAAAAUUAUAGACAAGAAAACAAAAUAAUAUCUCGAAAAUAUAUAAAAAUUUUCGAGUUCUCACACUCAUUCUUUCAGAGCGUUACAAAUACAAAUGUAGUAAAACAUCUAUCAUAUACAGGUCAUGGACAACUGAAAAUUUGAAUAGAAUUUUUUUUGUUAUUAAGAUUACAUGAUAGUCUUUUUUUGGUAAUUAUAUUAUGAUUUUGUUUUUACAUGAAAUGGUUUUAUUUUAAAUUUUACAAUAGAUUCCAUGGGCAUGUAAUUUUUUCAAAUGGUUGGAUCCUAUUUUUAAAGACAUGCUAAAAAAAUAUCGGAUCUUCUUUUCAAGUAAUUUUUUAUUACUUAUUAUUACUUUGAAGUCAUUAAUGUUUCUUUGUUAAACCAUUAGUGUUAGCCGUUGGUCAAGAGGGAAAAGCGCGACAAAAAUAACACCAAAUCUUAAGGGCGAGUGCAAAUAACACUAAAUCUUAGGAGGCUUAGUGGUUUUAAGCUCUGUUUUUAAACUCUGACCGGACCGGUCGAUCCGACCGGUCAAAUCGGGAACCGGUCAGUUGUCCAGUCUGAAUUGACCUUAAAAACCGAAAAAAUAAAAACUCGAUCAAAUCAGGUCAAAAACCGGAUUUGACCCAAUUUGACCAGAAAAAUAAGAACCGGGCAAGUCAUUUGCAAGCCCCUUCGCUUGGUUUGGUUGGGGAGUUUCGGGCUAGGUACAGAGCAAAGACUAAAAGUGGAAGUCCAAAAAGGACAAACUUGCAGAAUCAUCUUAUCAGAAGCCAUAGACUAUUAGGACACUCCUUUCUCAUCUUCCAGCAAAAUGGGCCCCAAGGUCGAUGGUCUGUUGUCCAUAAUCUCUUCACACUCCAUAUCAACCUCGACUUCUCCAUUUAACUUACAACUCUCUUUUAUCUGCCGAGGUUGGCACCAAUUGCAGGCUUUGGAACCACUUCACUCUCUUUUUUUUUUUUUACUAUUUUUUGAAAAGUCAAAAUAUUUUUAGUAUUAUGUUUUGACCUCAAGGUUGUUAAAAAUUAUUAAUAUAAUCCAAAUAUUUCAUACUUUAUAAACAUUUUCGUAAAGUUUGGUAUUAUUUUUCAAUUAAGUCCAUAAUUUUAAUUCUAAACUUGUUAAUGCUCAUUAAAUAAUAUAAAUUGCUACUUGAUUGUUCUAAUUUCUUUGUAUUUUCUUGUCAAAUAUAUUUAAAACAUCAUAUAUAUAUGAAUAUACCUUUAUUAAUAUUAACAUGUUAUUAGGUAUUUUACAUAUCAUAUUUUAAUUUUUAAAUAAUUUUUAUUUAUGACAUCAUCCGGUUCAACCCCGAUCGAAUCCGAUUGAACCCAUUGAUCCCGACUGAGUCGAUACCCGGUUCGGUUUUGAAAACAUAGGUUUUAAGUUUUAACCCUAUCAGCACCUUAUUCGAAUCAUCUACUCUCAAACAUAGUUGUCAAAAUCGCGAUCCGGAUCGUAGGAUCGUACGAUCCUACGAUCCGGAUAAUCAAAAUCGAUCCGGAUCGUAUGCAGAGUCGCAAAUCAUAUUAAUUUUUGCAGGAUCGCAUAGAAUCGUAGCAGGAUCGUGCAGGAUCGUGUAGGAUCGUGUAGGAUCGUAGGAUUGUAGGAUCGGUAGGAUCGUACGAUCCUACAAUUUUUUUUGUAAAUUUGUGAAAUACGAAGCUCCAUUUUGCAAAUAAAUAAAAAUAUUUGUGGUAUAUUUAUAAUUUAUCAAAGAAUUGCAACCUUUAAUUGCAAUUAAGAGCUUUUGGUAGGAUCUUACGAUUCUACGAUCCGAUCCUGUGAAACUAAAAUCGAUCCUACUUAGGAUCCCGAUUUUACAAAUCUUGCUCUCAAAAUGUGUACAUAAAGAUCAUAAUCUGUUUUGAAUCCACUGAUGGCCGACCAUUUAAACUUGAUGGCUUGGAAAUACUUGGGCCUUAGCCUAGAGGCCCAGAGACAACGAUAAGAUUUUCUGUUACAAGAUUAUUGAACUGUACCAUUACCACUUCGCAUGCCAUGUCAGCCCAGAUUGAAAGUUCUUAAAUGACACGACUGGCUUCAUCAAUUCGUAACGUCUAAUUGUAGAAGUAGCAUUUUAUCUGAGAAAAAAAAAAGGACCAAAAAUUUUCCGACAAAAAAAAGGAAUUAUUUUCUUGUACACCUUUAGUGUAAGAAUUUCAUUACACUAGCAGGACUGAAUACAAGCUACAUAAUCUCCAUUCAAAUUUAAAAAUUCACUUAUUAUAUAUGUGAUAUGCAUUUAUACCUGUCAAUAUUAAAAAAAAAUCUCUACAUUGGUAGAGCAUAAAAAAAAAUCCCAAAAAAAGGACUAAAAUUCCUUGCCCAAAUCAACAAUUUAUUGCCAAUUGAUUUUCACAAUUAACAUAUAGGUCCGGUUGACUAAGGGAGGUGAUCAGGUGAACCGAUCCCAAGUCAACUUGCCCAGAUUAGAUCUGGCGAAGGCCCAAUUACAAGGCAUUUCUUGCAUUUUCAUUUAUUGCGCGUGAUUGAAGUUGUCACGAUCUGAUCCAUGCCUCCCAAAUAUUAUUUGUCAAAAUAGUCAUGCAUUAUUUUUACCCCCCCCCCGUCCUUUCUUUCUCCUCUUGUUGCUUCUCUAUUUUUUAUGCUUUUUUGAUUUUUUUCCAUAAUAUGUGUGCAAUAAUCCUUUCUUUUAUUUUUUACUUUCAUUCUUAAAGUUUUGAAAGAUAGGUAUAACAAGUGUUACCAAUACUCGAAAAGUUAAAAAGAAAACUCGAUUCUUAUUCGAUGUUAUGCUUUUAUUCACGAAACUGUUAAAGUUCUAUAAGUCUCAUGUUUCAACUUAGAGUUUUGGGAUUCUACCCAUUUAUUUAUAUUUAAAUUACAACAAUUUAUAAAAUCAUCCAACCAUGUCGUUGCUUUUCUUUUGAUCUCUAGAUCAAACUACUAAAUAUUGUUAUUCUUUUGAGAAAAUUUAAUAUUCGAUCAAUAUCUGUGAACUAUUUGAACAAUAAAAAAUGGGCCAGAAUUGCAAUAAAAUUUUCAAAAGUUAGGCAAUUUCACAUGAAAUUUUAUGUAUAACUAAUCCAAGUGAUCAAACAUACUAAAUGGUAUUAAUUUUCAAAAAUAAUUUUUAAAUUAAUUUUAUUAGGGUAUAUUGGAGGGAAGUUCUCUCUCAUGUAACAGAGAUAGCCUAGCCCCUUCAACUUGCAUGUUCCAUGUGGUUCUUUUAUUUUGGUUGGAUGGCAUAAAACUCGGUCUAAGAUAGAAAUUUUCAAUUCAAGCAUUCUUUACUGAAUAUCCUCUUGUUACUUUGUGCAUUACUUUAAAAUCUACUCUUAUGGACAUCCUCCGGCUUCGGAAAACUAGAAUUUAGUAUUCCCAAUUGCCUUUUCUCUAGUUUAUAAAAAAAAAAAAGUUAAUCAGAAAACCAUAUUAACUUAUUUGCAUCAAUUAUUUAUUCCAAGACGUUACAAAAUAGUGAAAAAGAGGAGGCCUACUUCUCUUUUUUUUCUAAUUCAAAAAACAAUCCCAAUGUAGCUUACUUCAUCACAUUAGCUUUAUUUUAAUACGUUGAAGUCAGACUACAUCAAUCUUCUUCUUCUUCUGCUCUAUUCUAUAUGCAAUAAUAUCAAGAAAUAUGGCAGUUCAAAAAAAAAUUUUUUUUCUGUUGCCAUGCUAGCUACAACUACUUUUCUUCCCUUUAGUUUAUGGUAGAUUUAUGCAACAUCAGUUGAAGUAUUCAGAGUAACGUGGACAUAAUUAAGAGGAGAGUACUAGAAAGACUUGAUUACUUGAACCAUUUUGUUUACUUUAGGUUAUUAGAGAUCUUAUAACUUGACGCGUUUGGCAUCCUCCAUGUAGAACAAGAUAGUGUAUUGGUAUUCUAUGCCUUUUAUUAUUAUUAUUGGUGAAUCCUUAGAAAAACAUACUUUUAUGUGUGCUUCAAUCCACUUGUCUCCUCUUGAAUUAUGAAGAAACAUCCCAUAUGGGAUUCAAGAUAAAUUGACAACAUGGUAAAGAAUUAAUGAAAAGAUUGUGCAAUGAGAUGGUUGUGAUGUUUUAUGGUAGGUGACUGAACAACCACCAUGAACUCACUUGCUGUUUCCGUGUACAUUAUUAAAAUUUCUUCUUUAUCUCCUCAUCUCAUCACUUUUAGAUACAUGUCGAAAUUUUUCAACACCUCACUGAUUUUCCUUCAUUCCCAAGUAAGAAUUAUUGCCCCCCAGAUGAGUAUUUUACUCUUCAAAAGAAGUACUACAGCUCAAGUAGUGUAAACGAAAGAAUGAAAUUCAAGAAAAGGAUUGUUGCAUCAUAAUAUCCAUUAACAUGAAUAAUGAGGUGUACAUGUUUCAGAAGCCAAGGAAACAAAAAGGUUAUUUUUCUGCCAAACAAGUAAAGAAUCAUGUAAAUAAUGAAGCAGAAAAUCAAGGGUUGUGAUUAACUGACUAGUGAGAUGGAAUAGGGGCUACUAAGUGGCUAAUAAAUUAGCCCAAUGGAAUAAUAGUUACUGCUGUGGACAUUUCAAUUGUGAAAUGAAUUAAUGAAUCUGUACACUUGAAUUAAGGCUAGAAAGCAGGAUGGUCAGUUAGAGCAUCCCCACCAGUGGCUCAGGCUUGUGGUUGCUUGCAAUCCACCAAGGGCUGAAGUAGACUUGGUCACUGCCCUCUUCUUCAGCAGGAGCAGGCAAGUUGAGAUCCAGGAAGUCUCUGAUUUCAGGAAUUUGCUUCUGAAUUACAAUUCCUUGAUUGCUUUUGGCCUCAGCAGCCAAGUGUGCCCUCUUGUGACCACCUAAGGCUUGACCUGAUGGGAAAAGUUUGAAGCAUAUUGGGCAUUCAUGGCUUUUGUCUUUCUUAAAUCCAUAAUCUGUAUGAACAGUCUUGAUCUCCUUGGACCCAUAAUCUGUCAUUUCGACCUUUUCUUUGGAACCAUCGGUGGUGGUAUCAAUAUCCUUGCUGUAGCAUUUGAUCCUCAGUUUGCUGUCAGCAGUUUGAUUUGGGGAGAUUUCAGUUUCAGUGCUGUUUUCACUGCUAUCAAUUUUCGAACCCAAACAGCCUUUCAUCCUCUUGUGGCUAGCCCUGUGACCACCUAAAGCCUGAUAGGAAUGGAAGGCCUUGUUACAAGUAGUACACUCAAAUUUGCUUUUCCUAUCAGAACCCAGAUACAGCAACUCAGAAUCAGAAACACCACAAGCCAGUUUCGUUAUUGAGUAAUCUGCACUCAAUUCUGGAUCAUCAUGCAAAGCGAUGCACCUUCUUUUGCUCAAAUUCUGCUUCUUGGAUUCUGAUUCAGACUGAUUCUUUGGCAAUUCAACUUUAGACUGCUGGAGUUCAGCACCCUCCUCCACUUUAUUCUUUUUAAUAAAGACAUCUCCAAGAAAAGCAUCAGUUGAAACUUCUGAACUCUUCACUCUGAACUCUUUUCUCGACAUUCCAGAAGCUUUACUUGGUUCUGGUUGCUUAAUCUUGGACUUCAUCUUAGAGUCAAGACUAGAGGACUUUAAAAUCUUGCUCUCAGUUUUACAAUCUUGCUUAUUUUGAUUUGAUGAUCGAGCUUCUAAGAACUCAGAAUUAUAAUCAGAGGACUCACCCCCACCAACCGAUUUCAGACCACCCCAGUUACUCGCAUCCCUCGAAAGCAUUAUCAAACUCAUAGCAACCUCUUCUUGUUGUUCUUGCUCAUGAUUCUCAGUUACGCAGGGUGAAGGUUGUGCAAUUGUUAAAGGAGCAGUAUUAAUAUUUUUAGUAGCUUUGUACCUUUUGAUUGUUCUUGAUCUCUGCUUUCGAAUUGGAGCUGCUGCUUCAUUAUCAGAUUGGCUAUCCAUGACCAGCUUUUGAUUAGCAGCAGCACUGUUCCAAGAAUCGUCCUCCACACUGGCACUGUUAUUUGAUAAUACUUUAUCAGAGUGGCACUUCAUGUGACCAAACAAGGCUUUCCAAGAUGGAAAACAUUUGCCACAUUCCUUGCAGACUUUGCUAUCAAGUGAAGUAUCUUCACUUGAAUUUGCAGCAAAUUUACUUGUUUUCUUGGGAUUCUCUCGAAGGCUGUAACCAUUUUGAGCUUCUUUAGAGGAAUCAUCUCGAUUACCAGUCUUGAAAGAUGGCAACCUUUUCUUGCCAUGCUUCUCGUUGGAUUCAGCUGGAAUAUUGAUCAGAUGGGACCUCAUAUGACCCCCUAAAGAUCUACCACAAGGGAAGCUUUUGUUACAAAACUUGCACACAUGCUUCACUUCUUGAUCUUCUUCCAUCGAAUUGGAUUAAAGCUCAAUGAAAAAGAAUCAGAUCAGACAAACAAUAAGAAUCGCUGAUAAUACUCAAUCUGGAAAACAACCACAAAAAAAAAAAGAAGCUACAGCUUUGAUCUCAUUGUACUGAACAACAACUGAUCAAUGGCUUUUAAUCAAACAGAGCAAACAGAUCAAGAAACAAAGCUAGAAAUUGAAAUCUGAGCUGACAAUUCAAGUGGGGUUGAGUUUCAAUAUCUUCUCCAAUCUUGAACUGAUCGAAGAAGAAAAGAAUUUUUGGUCAAUAACAAGAUCUGAUGAGCAGAAGAGUUAGGAAAUAGCUGGCGAAUAUGUAGUGGUAGUGAAGUCUCUCUCCAGCACUAGUAGUAGUAGCUCAAUUGGUUAGUUGAAUAAUAGUAUUUGAAGCAAAAAAAUUAAAUAUUAAAAAACAUCAAAAAAUAUGAAGAGAAGGGCUAUGCUAAGUUGCUAACCUUGUUGCCAAUGAUGGCAAUGAACUAGCAAUCCAACCAGGCAAAAGAAAGAAUUGAAAGAGAGUAGUUUAUACUCUGUCUUUCUUACAUAGGAAUAAACACAGACUAUAUUUGGAGGACAAAUCCAUGCAUGGAGGCAAAGAUAAAAAGAGGUAAAGAAGAGAUAGAUAGAGAUAGCAGCACGUGUACUCAACUGAGAAUUCUACGCCUACAAAUAUCCAAUGGUUGAAAUUUUGUCCAAUUGGAGAUCCCUAUGGCUGAGAAAGCUCCCAAUUUUAAACUAAGAGACUUAACUGCUUUCUAACUAUUCUUUCCUUUGUCUUGCUAAUAAGGAAGCCCAAGACUCCAAGUGAUAAAAGGUUCCACUCUCUGGCCGUUAUUCUUUUGUUUGUUUUCCUUCUCUGAUUAUUUAUAAUAUAAUCUGUGCCGUUGGAUUUUGAGCAAGUACGAUUGUGCUGUGUGCAAUUCAGUUCGAUUUAUUUACUUAACACAAUAUUUGGUGUAUAAUUAUACUAUUCCUUCCGUCACACUUUGAUAGCAUUGAUUUUUUUUUUUUCACACAGUUUAACAAAAAUUAUCUAAAUUUAUUCGAAGAGUAAAUCUGAUAUACUAUUUUCCUAAAAUACGCUUACAUUGAUAUCAGGGAUAUGACUAAUUACUAUACCUUUACAUUAAUUACCACAACGAUACUAUAAAAAGUUGUACCAGUCAAGGUAUAAAUCAAAGCAAUUAAUGAAUAAGGUAGGUUCUACUUGUUGAUAGCAAAAUACGUUAAAUAAGGGUAUUUUAUAAAAGUUACAAUUAAUUAUAUUUUUUAAUUGAAAAGUGGACUAUAAUUUGAAACGGAUGACAAAUAAAAACAAAACUAUCAAAAUGGAACGGAUGGAGUAAAUUGAUAUAUCUAAAUUUAUGAAAUAUUUUAUUUUUGUACGUUAACUUUUUAUCCAAUAAAAAGUUAUUGUGUUAUUGUACACAAAAUAUCGAAAUAGAUACAACAUCAUAAUCGAAACCAUUUUGAAACAUAACCGUAUUAAUCCCAAUCCCGAUAAAAGUACAAUGUAAAGAUCCACAAUGUUGGCAGGUCCCCUUCCAAGGGGUUGCAUUUACUGCCGCUUACUUCACUAGCCAAUUGGACCAGGCCAUGUUAUUUCUCCUGCAUAGUCUAUUCAAGCUUUUGGGGAAGUGAUGGCCAUGAGCUUAGUAAAUUAAUACUCCUUGAUAAUUCAUUAAAAGGAUGGCCAUAAGGUUAGCUAAUUAGUACUCCUUUGGUAAUUCAUUAAAAGAAUUUUGACCUGCAAAACUUGGCAGUUAGGAAUGCAAUUAUAUCUUUAUGAUGUCCUAGUUUACAAGUUUACUAAUGUAUGUAUUAGUUGGACCAUACAUUAUACUAGAUGUCCUACUGUACAUUUUUUAUGGGUUAAGAUUUCUUAAUUUGUAUGUUGCAAUUUAACUAUGUACUAAUAUUAAUUGUUACCUGAUUAGUCAAAAGUUGAAUUAUUCAAUUUGAUUUUUGAAGGGACUUCCAGUCAAUUAAAUUCAAGUUGGCAUUUGGAGUAGUGGUACAAUAUGCCUGCAGCUACAGCUUUCUUCGGUUACCACGUUGAUUCUAAGUGUUGGCACAUUUUUGUUUCUCCUUCCGUUGAAGGCGUUAUAUUUUCCAUUUUGAAAUGUUUUAAAAUAUUUGUCAUGUUGGGAAAGUCAAAAAAUUUUUCAAUCUCUCUUUUAAAUAUAAUCUCCCUUUAAUCAUAUGCAUGUUACCAUAAGAUUCGGAAGAGAAGCACAAAUAUCACAAUCACACAACUAUUUUUAAAAUAUUAAUUUCCUGGAACAUGAUAAAAUAAUUGGGACGGAGGAAUAGGAGUUUGGUCUGAACUUGAAAUUAAGAAUUAAGCCUUGUGUAUGUACAGCCAUAUAAAAUUAAGAAUUAAGCCUUGUGUAUGUACAGCCAUAUAAAGACAUAUUCUUGUAAUUGCUUCUACCGCCAAGACCAACGCUGAAGCAUGUAAUAGUGGCACUUUUAACAUCAAUUUUUUUCCCCACGCAUCUCUCCAAACUCCAUGUUCUCAUCACAAUAAGCUCAAACAUCCUUUCUUUUGGAACAUUCCUAGUUUUAAUCAAUCAAACCAAAUAACCAUUUCAAGUGAGUGAAGCAAAACGUGAGCAUUGAUCUUUUUUUUUGGGGGUCAUCAAUUUUAUUUCACAUACGUCUUAUGAAAGAAGGUGCUAAAAUAAAAUAAAGCAGAAAUAUUUUUUUUUUUUUUUCUAAGAAUCGCAACCCAAACUAAGUCGAGCUCAAGCUCAAACUCCCCAAUUCCAAUGAUGUGUAGUACAAAAUAAUUUGGAACUGGAGUUAAACAAUUUUUAAUAACAAAUAGGUAUGACUAAUUUUGGAUUUUAGUCCAUGGUCGGUAUAAACUUGUCACUUGAUUGCCAGCAAGAAAAAGCUACUAGAGCAUGAGCAAAAUGAGUGACCGGCCUUGAGUUCACAAUCAGUGCCGGCCUUCAUUGCAGUAACCGAAACGUGAAUGUCUCAUUAGCAACAAAUAGUUAAUUAAAUCUUGGCUAUGAAAAAUGGAUAUCCCUUUAGUUGUUGUGCCUCUUUCAGCCGGCAAUUUCUCAAAGUUUAGCUGUAAGUUGUCUAGGAAGAGUUGUUUUAUAUUUGGUUGUUUUAAUGAAGAGAAGCACAUAGGAAUUAGGAAGUAAUUACUAGGAAGCAGCAGCACUUAAUAAGCUUUUUAAGAGUCAAUUCUUUUAUGUAGUCUACAUGUGCAAGCACAUUAUGUAAGCCCUCCCCCCACCCAUUUGGCCGGUAAAGAUACAUGCACUAUAAUUCACUACUACCUUGUGAUUAGCUAAAGAAUCUUACAAAUUGGACAAAAUUUCCAAGAUUCUAGCCUUUCUUGUACUAUAACAUGGGCUAAGUAGAUGGGAGCAAGAAGAAAGAAGAAUAGAAUUGACUGAGUAAAUUAGAGGAUCAACAUAUAUAUAUAUAUACAUGCUUGGAUUUGGGGCAGAAAUUGGCCAGUGGUAAAGCAAUCUACACUAGAUUCUUUGUACACAAUUGUGAGUUUUUUAACCUGUUGUAGCUAGUGAGUUUUUUACCUUCUUGAGAUUCUUUGUACACAAUUGUGAGUUUUUUUAACCUGUUGUAGCUUGUGACUUGUGUUACAACAUACCCUACAUAAUGAACUAAGGGUAUUGUUAGAAUUUUCAAGAUUCAUUUCAAAGACGAAGUAAUAUAUUUUUUGCACAAGAAUAUAUGGUGAAAAGCGGAUAAAAAUAAAAGUUAGGAGAGCAGGCCAGCAGCUGAAGCAACAAGAAGACAGGAAUGGGGAGAUGGCAACUUCACAUGUUGCUUGAAGCUUCCACUUCUAAAGAUACAGAAAUAUCUGGGUGAAAAAUCUUUUAUGGCUCUAUAGGGAAUCCUGACAGCCCAUUUAUUAAGUUACACUGCAAAGCCAAAAGCAACAAACAAUACAUAAUUUAAAGUCUGUUGCUGAAGCUAUAUAUCACCAAAUCUUGAUACACUAGACCCUUCUUUGAAAUUCACUAUAUCCAUUUGGUUAAAUUAGAGAGUUGCCCAACCACUUCUCAUGAAGUGGUUACACCAAUACUAGGGUAUCAAGUGUAUCCCCUUUUUUGGCUUUUGUACUUGUUUUUGUGCAAAUGCAGAAAAGGGAACUCUUUGAUUGUUAUUACUAUUUUUCUCCUGCUUGGACAAGUCGAAUACAUAGGGUUUAUGCUAAACUCGAACUCAAAAUCUCUAAUUCACAAAAAGAUGCUCUGAUUUAAUUGUAUCUCCUUGAAUCCUCAUUACACAUAUAUAGAUGGGCGGAGUUUGGCAAAGGUGCAAAAGCUUUGGCAUAGAAUCUCCCGCUAGCUUCAUAGUGCUAGAGUAUUUUACUAUACGGUACAACUCAAUUUUUGUAUCAUCCACCUAAACUAACUAGAGGAGGUAAGGACCAAGGACCACUCUCUAGGACAUCUACAUCCACAAAUUCAGUUUUCUACUAUUAAUAGUCAUAGCCAGCUGAAAAAUUGCAUCUUCAAGCUGAUAUUAAAAAUGCUCAUCUACACUUGUUUAUUUGUGUAGCACAUCCAAUUGGCAGAAGUGACUUCACUUGUGAGUGAAGUGUAUAGUUUUUCCUAAAAGUGAUGCUCAAAAUUGACAAGCAGACACCUUCCAAGGAAAGUUUGGCCACUCCUUGUCUUCUCCCAUCCCUGGUAACAUUAUUAAGACUAAGAUAAGAUGCUCUACUUUGGCUUUAUGCUUUGGUCAAGCUUUCUCCCCUAUUUUUUCACCCUCCCUCUGUAACCUAACCCCAUGGCCACCAGGGUUGGGUGUGAAUAACUAGAUAGCUAUCUUAACCAAUUAAUCAACUCUUUUACUGCUAGCUAGCUAAUCCAGAAAAACCAAUUAAUCAGACCACUAGACCAUUAUUUUUCUUCUUCUUUCCUCCUCCAUUCUUGUGUCAGCUCGGCCAACUGACUAUAGCACUUUUUACCCUCUUUUAUCCUUUCUAUGCCAAACAAAUUAAAUUUGAGAACCUUACUAAGUAGUGUGAUUUUAAUAUAAUUAUGGUAAAUUAUGCCGGUAGUAGAUCUUUGCCGUGGCAAGAAAACGAAUUCAUGUUUGCAUUAGUAAUUCUAUACAAAGCAUUGUUUAUUUGACUACAUCCAUCAAUAUUAAGUUGUUUGUUUAACCAAAAUACUCAUUCAACCAAUUGGGAUAUGCUUUUUUUAUGACUAAAAGGUAUAUGUUUUCAUCAGUUGAAUAAUUAAAAGUGAAAGUUUUUAUUAGUUGAGUGACCAAAAAUUAUACCUUUUCUAUUAGUUAGCUGACUAUUUAUGCUAAGCAAAAAGUUUAGUAACCAAAAUAAGAAUUCUAAAUACAUUACUGAUUUUUUUUCACCAUUUGCUCUAAAUUCUUAGUAGGCUAAUUCACCCUGACUUUAAAAUGUGGUAACUUAUCCUCUUCGUAAAUUUUUAAACUCAAGAGAAAAUGGUAAUUAAGCUGAAAUUAUUCAAACAAUGAAAGUGUUGAUUGAUUUUGUUUGUUGUUCUAACACAUCCUUUUAUCCCAAGUCGAAGCAAGAUCUAACAGAAGUCUGUGUGUGCUCUCAUUUCAGCCCAGGUGGCGUAGAUGAAUGAGACUGAGGAAACAAAAUAGAAGAGACACGCAAUGCCUCACAAGCAAGUGCCUGUCACUGCUUUGCUGUUUCACCAUGACCUAGAUUAUACCAGUCCCCAUAUAAAAGGAUUAGAACAUAAGAAAGCCCAUUAAUCAUAGGCAUGUCAAGUUUUAAUCAUGUCAUAAAUAUUUGUCUUGGUGGUUGAGGGAGGGUGGGGAAGGAUUCCCUGCUUAAUUGCAGAUCUAAGUUGAGACAAGUCUGAUUGAUUGUUAAUUUUCAUCAAGUUGGAGAAAUUAUAAGGGCAAGUUAGUACGAUGAAUUCACAAGAAAUAGAAAAAAAAUACAUAAAAUGUAUUUAACGGUCCUCUAAAUUAGUCUCAAGACUCUCAUACUUUGUGUAAUUACAUGUACAUGUUUUAUGUUUUUUCUAUGAUUUAUUUUAAAGAGUAGUCAAUAUUUGAACUCUUGACAUCUUACACGAAGAAAAUUGACAAAAACAAGGUCUCAUGUAUCUAUCUGUUAUGCUAAUGGAAUACCUUUAUCAUUUUUCACCACACAAAUAUAUAUACUAGCUAGACCAAUUGUAAAUGCAAGUCAAGAAUAUGUCUUUUCCCAUACUUGUAUAGCUAUAGAUAAACAUUUACCAUAACAAGUAGAUACGCACCAUUGUGUCUUUAUAUAAAAGCCUAAUCAUAAAGGUGCAUGUGUUGCUUUAAACUGGUAAUAAUGGGGCAUGUGUUAGUGAGCAACUAGUCCUCACCUGCAAUGCUUAGGGAACACUCAAUAGAGACCAUAAAAAUGCAGAAAAACAUUUUGUAUUUUGAAUAAUAGAGAAAUUUCUGAUGUGGGCUCCAUUCUUCACCUAGUCUCCGGGAUGGAUCAUAUGGAUGCUGAUGAAGUGGUUUAGAUGAGCUGAGCACCCUUGCACUAUCCCUCUUCACUUAGUUUAUUUAGUUGCUCUUUCAGCUAGCUAAGCAAGAAAUGCCCCUUUACCAGCUGCUUGCAUUCUUUGCACAAAGCCAUGUGGCUGUUGGAAUGAAAAAUCUUUUACUAGAUGACUGUCACUUCCUUAUUUUGGCCAGAAUUAAGGCAUAGAUUUCAAUUGACAAAAUCACAAUUUGAAAGUCAACUUGCUAAUGAUAAUUAAUUAGCUCACUAUGUCAUUAUUAAGUGGAAAAUUGAGGUCCUAGUGGAUAUAUGCUCCUUAUCCAUCAUCUUAAAAUGAAGUUUAAUAAAAAAAUUGCCUACUUUUCUUUUCCCUCUUGUCCUCCCACCUCCAAAGAUUAAAAUGCAAUUAAAGAUUUCUCGCUCGCUCGUAGAGUUGAUUGAAGCUUUAGAGAUCUAGUAAAGAAUUAAUUUGUGGGAGAUAAGACUACUUUUCUUCUCCUCUUGUUUCUUUUGUUACCGCUCCUGUCAGGAAGAGGAAGGUGGGGUGGAGUUGACGUUAGUGAAUAUAUGGUAUAGUAUAUUAAAAAAAGUGUUUUUCAGUGACUAUAAAUGAACAACUCAGUCUAAAACUAUACAUGCUGCAGCUUUCAGUAUUACAUCAACAACUUGGUAGUUGACCAUUAAAAUAUCUGAAAUCUUCUUCAAUGACUUUCAAUGUGGAAAGUGAUCCUGCACGAAAAUGAUUACUCAUAAGCUAUUAGCUAUUAAGUUAAGUGUUAUCAACGCAAAGCACCUGAUCAUAUGCGUAAUCAGGACUCAUUAUGAUCUAUUUGAUUGAUCAACAGUGAGUCAAUCAGCAUGCAAAGGACCGUGGAUCUCCAUCUUCUAAUCCAAAAAAAUAUGAUAAUGUGAGACCUUAAAGUUUUCCUAAGAGAACUAGGGUGACUAAAUUAUAUGUGUGAGCCUAAUACUGAUGUACAACUUGACAUAUCUGUUGUGAAAAAUAGUGGUUGUAUCGUACUUGGAUAUGAUAUUUGAGUCACACUACAUAUAUAGCAGUAGUUUGAAUGAUACUUUUCUUUCUAGUGCACAUAGGACAUGUAGGGGUUGCAAUUAUAGCCUUGCUUCUUCUCUGAUUCUUUGAAUAGGGAAAAGUUGUGGGGAAGUGAUACAUGCAUAUGUAUAUUGCUACUCCGGUAAUAAAAGCAUCUUUUAAAUGGCUAGCAGGAACAUGAAGUGCGAGUCUUACGCACUUUCAUUUCAAAUGAAAAUGAUAGAUGGCAUUAAGCCCACGUCUAGAAUAACUUAUUCUUUGGUGCAGCUCCGUAUUUGCACAAAAAGUUUGUAAACCCUUCCAAUCCAGCAAACAUCGAUCCUUAUGACCAAGUGUAAGUUUGUACCACUCUUUGUCUAGAUGCAUUUGACAGGUAACGUAACCAGAAUCUAGUGUCAAAUUGGCACUCUUACUCUGAAAAAGUUGGCAGAUGAUGUAACCAAAAUCUGGUGGCAAAUUUGCAGCAAUCUGAGAUGCAUAUUAUCAGGUGUAAAAAUUACAUGCACAUGAAUACCAAACCACGUUUUUCUAGCACUCGUAUUUGUGCGUUUAAUACUAAGGUGAUGACCAAAUACCCAGCUUUUGCACUUAAAUUUCCGGUUGGAACUGUUAAACUUGCUCUGCACUGUGUAGAUCAGUGCUUGCAAAUUCGCUCUCUGCAAACAUACAAGCGGUUCACUUUGUUCAAUUGAAUAACUUCAUGAUCCUAUGAGUGAUGUUUCCCCAGUCAUGUUGAACAAGAGGAGUUAGCUGAGCAUUAUACUAAGUUUCAACUCGUCUUGUACAACUCAAAAUUUCAAGUGGCAUAACUGCCUGGUAAUGAAUUAUUUAUUAGACAAUGUCAAAAUUACAACCUUGAAAGGCACAUGGCCAUGUGGCCUUUCCUCUAAAGUCUCUAUCAGAUUUUGUGCUUUUGUCUAUGCGCAUAGCUUUCUGAAACAAGAUAUCUACUAAAUCUAUCUGUGGAGCAGUAUAUACACUUCCAGCAGCUGUUCUUUAGGUAUUGAUCACCUCUGCACACUGGGAUGUCAACUCCAAGCUGUCCUAGCCAUCUCUAGUCUCGUGAAUUCCAAGCUCCAGCACCGAAGACUUCUUCAAUCACACUGGACGUCGGAAGAAAAUCUUCAUCCUUGGGGCAGGUCAAACAACCAACAUCCCAUUCUUUGGAACUACAUGGCUCUAAAAAAAGUUCAUUACCAGUACUGCUGCUCAUACUACUAAGGUCGCUAGUUAUAUGUUUUGUAUUUUGAUUUCCACUUAUGUCAGAAAGGACUUGGUCAAGUGGCUGAUGCGCUUGAUCUGAACUGCAGUUAUCAGGCAUGUCAAUCGGACACAUGUCUGACUCUUUACUGACACACUUACUGCCAUCCAGGUUCAGCCUUAUAUUAUCUUCUGAAGCUUCCUCAGCAUUGAUGUCAUCCUUGUAUUCACAGAGAUUGUCUUCAAAGAUCUCAUUAUGAUCAUCUUCCUCGGCAGGUGAUUCAACCAGAGAGUCAUCAUACCCAUUUAUUUUUUCUAUUACUUCAUCAGCAGAAACAUUAGUUCCUUCCCAUUCAUCAUUGUCGCUGUCAAUACUCAACACAUCAAUUCUGUUCUGUUCAGCACGUCUUCGUAACAUAAAGACAUUAAAAUAAUAGCUAACUAUUUCCUUCUUGGUCCUAGAAGGAAAUUCAAUAGCUAAAUGGUUCCAAAAGUUCCUCCCCAGUGAUGCAGGAUGGGAAAAUACAACCUCAGUAAAUAUUUCCUCUUCCUCCUCGCUCCAUUUUUCAGCCACUACCUCUCCCACUUCCAAAAAACCCAACUUGACAAAAGCCUCCUGGCCAAGGGUUUUCCUGAGUUUUUCUCGUGCUUCAGUGAUGUGUUGCCGAACACAUCUAACGGAUCCCACAUCAUCACAGGAACAAUCAAUUCUUCCAUCUCCAAGUUUCUCCACAGUGUCUUCAGACAUGUCUGAUCUAGGCAUGGGAACUAGACAAGAACCAGAAAAUUGCCUCUCAUGGUCUAAAUGAUUACCAAUAUCUGACAUGAGAGAUUGGGAUGAACGGUUGAAGACUUCAAAAGCAUCUCCUGAUGAACUGGACAACUUUUCAUCAUCACACCCACACCAUUCAGGUAUUUCUGCUUGAAAACCACUGCCAAUGGGGACCAAUUUCCGAGGAGGAUAUUCCAAAAGAGAAGAAUAAAUAUCUCCGGUAUGAAAAAUGGUCCUUGCUGGAAAGUCAAGAUUAUAAUGGUCUGGAGACAGCAAUAUGCAAGGUGCCUCCGACCUGACAUCUUCUUCACAGGUAGUGCUUGUAGCCCAGGAAGAGUUGGAAAUGGAGCAAGCCAGACUUCUAUCUAUUUCUUUCUCAACAUAACUUUGGAAUUCAGCAAGAUUGCUGUCUACAAGACUUUCAUCCCUUUCACCUUUCUUUUUAUCGCAAGCAGCCCCAUCUUCACCUACCCACAUAUUAAGACUGGUAAAAAACAUAAAAGUACUGAAAGAUAAGCAUAAAUAUCGUACAAAUAUUAGCAAGCAUCUAAAACAGAUAGAAGUAAGAAUUUAGCUUCAGAAAACAGUACUGAACUCUCCUUAGUGGGUCCAUUCUUAAGUAGAAGAAUAAGAGCUCAACCCACAGAGACAGAAGAAAUUCAUAGAGUAAAAGCUCUGAACUAAUGUCCAAUGCCAUGCAGGUUUCUUGUUAAACCAAGGCAUAAAUUAGCCAAAAACAUUUUGGCCAGAAGAACUUUAUCAAUCACUAUCUUCUAUACAAGUAGCUAUGUGCAAAAAAGGCCACAAAGAACCAAGACAUUCAAUGCAGAUUUUCAAUAAUAUGGAAAACUGCUGAGAAGCUUUAGUUCAGAAGCAGAUAAACUACUCUCAUUUGGUUCUAGACAAUAAUACAGUGAUACAAGCAGUCCCCUACAUCAAGCAUCUUCAAACGUUGAUAGAGACUUCUUCGCACCUAA